This 51359-nucleotide long non-coding RNA is filed under the name Homo sapiens (human). Its description in RNAcentral is "non-protein coding ENTPD1-AS1:19". Lineage: Eukaryota; Metazoa; Chordata; Mammalia; Primates; Hominidae. The record is from RNAcentral.
AAUAUAUCCGGAAGCAACUGUCAUGGCUGCUGUCAGUGAGGGCCCGUAAUGGAGAUCGAGUCAAGGGUUGCCCAGGGACACUUAAGAGCCUUCGGCUUCAAGGAGGCCUCUCAAAGGACAAAGGAUGAGACUGCCUGGCGGCAGAGUGCCCCCCACAAUCGUAGGAACUGUGUCGCCGCGCUUCCCGUUAACUUGCCGCUAAGUUUUUCUAGAAAAGUCGCCCUUCUUGCCAGGGUGGGACCUCACUUCUGACCUAGCCCUUCUUUGUGUACCAAGUUUUUGUUUCCGUCAUUUCCCGCAGCCCGGGAGCUCGGCGGGCGAUACUGUGGUAGCCUGGGAGGAAGGGGCGGGCCGGAUGCUGGAACCGAGAGAGGUGGGGCUCGUCGAGGAGUCACGGGCGGCCGAGGCUGGAGUCUCCUAAAUGCAACCUUGAGCUGUUCCACCCUUUGGUGCUUGGUCUGUUAGCUCGAGGUGCUCCUCACCGUGGAGGCGUUUAGAGCUGGUCAUAAGGCUCUUACCUGCUGACCCAACCACCCUCAACCACAGCUUGCCCUGCUCCAGAUAGACUUUGAUCCUAGAAAAUAUCUAAGAUGGGUGUAGUGCAGGUGUCCUAUAGACUUUGUCAUGGAGUGAAACAGAAACAAAUGUGAGUUAAUCAUUAACAUUUCCUAGUGGUUAAAAUUACUUUUUAAGCGCUUAACUGUGUAUUUUUUAGAUUGAAGAUUUCAAAUGAAAUUUUGAUUUGACUGAAAUAUUUAAUAUGUGAUGAGUUGAUAUUAAAAUACAGAAGAUUACUAUUUUUAUAGAAACAAUAAUGUAGAAACUAAUAUUUGAAGCAGGUUUACUCCACAUACUGUGUUAUAAUUUAAAUUUUCACUUAAACUCUCAAAAUCAGAAGAGCUGACCUAGUAAGGCUUAAACCUCUAAAACUUGUGGUUUUAACAAGGCUUAAUAUACGUAGUUAUAAUAGUUUUUAAAAAAAUUGUUAUCAAGUUCCUCAGGUGAUUCUGAUAUAGUAUUUUAAAGAAAGCAAAGAGAAAUGAUCUGUUUAUACAUUUUAAAUAUUUUGUUCCUUAUUUAUGUAUUGAGACUGUGCUUAUAAAUGCAUUCACACGCAUUGAAGUACAUAAUUUGAUCGUCAUGCCAGCCUGGAAUCUUGCUUUUUGUAUGGUUUCUUGCAGGUAGGUCUAUUGGGUUCUUGGCAUAGUACCUGGACAAAACAUUGUUAAGGUGGAAAUUUUCAUUGUAUUUAUCACUUCAAACACUUGACCAGUUUAUUUAGUUUUCAAGCGCUUUAGACAACUAUAUGUGGGCUUGACUUAGUGUAUAAUAAAUGUAAAGUUUGAUCUCAAGUAGUUGACAUUUAUGGAGUAUUUACCAUAUGCCAAUCUUUGUGAUAAUUGCUAGACAUAUUUUAUUUAAUGCUUACAGCAGUACUGUGAGUUAGGUUUGUUAAAUCCCUGUUUUAAUAGAUGGAGAAACUGAGGCAAGGACGGAUUAAGUUACAAAUCCGUCUUUGUAACUUAGAGCCAUCUUCUUACCUACUUGUUUUGUAUGACACCCUUUUCCUCCAUAUAACUGAACACUGGUAGAAGAGUGAAUGACUGUAGAAAACAGACCUGGACUCUAUUCUACCUGUCCAGCUUUGUAAACUAGGGCAAGUUGUGUGACCACUCUGAAUUUCAUUUUCCUCACCUAUAAUAAAUGAAAACUUUGAACUAUUAUGUUUUAUUGAAUCUUGAAUCAUCAGAAAUCCUUAAGGCUGGGUGUGGUGCUUCACGCCUGUAAUCCCACCACUUUGGGAGGCCCAGAUGGGAGGAUUGCUUGAGGCCAGGAGUUUGAGACCAGCCUGGUCAGUCAGCAUAGCGAUAUCCCAUCUCUACCACAAAAAAAAAAAAAAAAAUUCCUUAAAAUGGUGCCUUUACCAUCAAACCUGGGAUUUUCUUCCAAGCCCCUAGUGCUCAUUCUGAGUUUUGAAGUUUUGAUGCACGGCAGUGCCAACUCCAUCUCCAUUGCCGUCUAGUCUGAUUACAUUGUAAGAUGUGACUGAUUUCAGAGAUGUCAAAAUGUAAAAUAAUGUGCAUCUUGGAACUAAUGAGCUCUUUUUCAACCCUGACUCUGUAACAUCUGUGACUUUUUAACAUUUUAUUGCAGGAUUAAGUAUUUUUGAAUGUAAAUGAUUCAAGAUAACACAUAGACUUCGUUUGAUGACAUCUGCAAAAUAAAUUUUUAAAAAAUUUGGGCUUCAUGAUAAUGGAAAAGUAGAAACUAUGUUUGUCUUUAUCACCUGUGAAUCCCCCAUAUUGAGAACAUGCCUGGCACAUAGUGAGUGUUCAGUAAUCAUUUACUCAAUGAAGUAAACAAGUCUUCAUUUCUUUUUUCUUUGUUUGAGACAAUCUCACUCUGUUGCUCAUGCUGGAGUGCAGUGACGCUAUCUUGGCUCACUGCAACCUCUGCCUCCAAGGCUCAAGUGAUCCUCCCGCCUCAGCCUCCCAAGUAGCUAGGACUACAGGCACACACCACCGCACCAGUUAAUUUUUGAAUUUUUUUGUAGAGACAGGGUCUUACCAUAUUUCCCAGGCUGGUCUUGAACUUCUGGGCUCAAGCCAUCUGCCUGCCUCAGCUUCCAAAGUUCUAGGAUUACAGGCAUCAGCCACUGUGCCCUGCCACGUCUUCAUUUCAUAUUACAAAUACAAUAUUAAAAAAUUGUGUUUGACUUGAAUUAGACAUAAAAUACACAGUCAUGCAUCGCUUAAUGACAGGGAUACAUUCUGAGAAAUGUGUUGGGUGAUUUUGUUAUUGUGCGUGUACUUACAUAAAUCUACAUGGUAUGGGCUACUACAUAUCUGUAUGGUAUGGCGUAUUGCUCCUAGGUUACAAACCUGUAUAGCAUGUUACUGUACUGGAUACCAUAGGUGGUUGUAACACAAUGGUAUUUGCAUAUGUAAACAUGUCUAGACAUAGAAAAGGUACAGUAAAAAUAUUAUAACUUUAUGGGACCGUCAGUGAAAUGUCAUUAUGUAGCACAUGACUGCAAUAGUAUUAAUAGUGUAAAACUAUUUUGCACUGAAAUUUUUUGCAUUCAGAAGUUCACUGUUGUAAACUGUCUUUCUUUCCAAAUAUCUUUUCUUCUGCUGAUUAUUGCUGAUUGUCAUCAAGUAUGGGGUAUAUUUUGUUCCUCGAAGAGUUAUAGUAAAAAUUGAAAUGCUGGCUUAUAGACUUUCCAACAAAGAAUCUGAUUUAUUUUUAAAGUGGCCAAAGUAUAGGAACAUUAUUUAAUUUUUAGAAAUCUUGAUUGUAAAAAAAGUUUUAAAAAUGUGAUUUGAUAGCUUAUUUAAUUUUUGUGAGUAUUCUGGAGGUGAUUAGGCAUACUAUCUUUCCUAGUAUACAAAUAAUAUUGAAUAUUUCUGAGUUAUGAACAAUAAAAAUAAACUACAAUUGAAAUUAUGUCAUAAUUGAAAUUAUGUCAGUGGGCAGAAAAGUGUUCCAAGUUUUUGGGUGGGCAAGUGUAAGAAUAAUGUUAACAGGAGAAAUUAUUCCAACCGUAAUUAUGGAUGUCUAAUAGUCUGUACUUUCGGUUAGAACCAGGAAGGUGGCACAGGAAUAAUUAUAGAGUUGUAGACUGUUCUCUGUAGAUAAUCAGCUGAGUUUUGUGCUGUGGCCAGAAAAGCCAGUGUGUGAGGUAUCAUCAGGAAGGGAUUUGGGAAAAUUAACAAAAAAAAUGUUACCCUCAAAUAACACAGUGUUUUAACUAAACAUGAGAUACAAGAAAUUAUUUUAUAUUCAUAAUCCAGAUGUUAAAAAUCGUUUCAAUUGUUAAAUGUGAUUAUGGCUAUAAUUUUACUUACAUAAUUCUGUAAAGGGUAUAUGCCUGUAUAUUCAAUUUUUAAAGACCAAAUAUAGGAGUAAAAUCAUUUACAUAAUUACAAAAAUUCCUGCCACUAAAAUAAAACUCUGUACCACUUGAUAGCACUUCAUUACUGAGUGAACAUUGACCAUGAACAUCUUGGAAUUUUCACUAUCAAUUUCCUUUUCUCAGAGUCCUUUUUUACAGAAAACACAAAGUUUUUAUUCUUUAGUUAUGCCUGUGCAGUAAUGAGGAGGGAAUAGUAUUCACUUCUGUUAGUACUUACUUCCUUGCACAAACUUUGUAAUGUAUACUUUACUGAGUUCUCCAAACCCAAAGGAGAAUAAGGCCAAGGGCCUAUAAUAAAUUAUUUUAUGAGUCCAAAAAAGUAAUUCAUUUUAUGAUGUUUUCACAGAAGUUUAUGCUUAUUAAUCAAAGAUUUCAAGUUUAAAGAACUGAAGGAGAAGUGAUAUCAUUAAAUUUGGAGCAAAUAUGUUCUUUCAAUAAUUUUUUAAGUACCUAAGGAUUGUUUUGUACUACCCUGAAAAUUGUUUUCCUUUAAAGUUUUUAUUAUUUCCACACCGUUUUUCUCCAUCUUUCUGUUUUCCUGUAAACGAAUAACAGUAAACCCCCCACCCUAACAAAAUGUGAAUUCACCUAGGCUGAAAUCAUAAGAUAUAUUCACUUUGUUUUCCCUACUUUUUCUACAUGUUCAAGAAUUUAUAUCAAAUACAGAUUAAUUUGAAAAUUUGACAUUUGGAGAUAAUCUCAGUGACUAAAAAGAAUAAAACAGGCAUGGGACACUUGCAAGGAGGAACAGAAACAAAAUUUUAAAACCCUCUCAUUACUUAACCUACAGCAAAGAUGAAUUUAUAAGCAUCUCAUUUAAACUCUAGGGUAAGUAAAUUUUUAAAAAGUUUUUAGAGAAUGAGGAAUACAAAGGGAUUUUGCUAAUUUAAGACAUCAUCGUUUUUAGUUUAGUGUACUGGGUAAAGGAUUUUCCAAGUUAACUAACAACUUUAUUCUCCAAAUCCUGAGUUUUUACUUUUGGGUGUCAGCCAUGACUACUUCUCAUCAGGAGUAUUUAAAAAUGUUAUCCUACCAGUUGGUGAAAAAAUAUCACACCUCCUUUCUAAUCUUUAUUGGAAAAUCUCCUUUUCUUUUCUUUUUUCUUUUCUGUUGAGGCCUGGUCUCGCUGUUGCCCAGGCUGGAGUGCAGUGGCGCAGUCUCUGCUCACUGUACCCUCUGCCUCCCAGAUUCAAGCGAUUCUCCUGCCUCAGCCUCCUGGGUAGAGGGGAUUACAGGCACCCGUCACCACACCCAGCUAAGUUUUGUAUUUUUUCAGUAGAGACAGAGUUUCACCUGGUCUCGAAUUCCUGACUUCAAGUGAUCCACCCCGCUCGGCCUCCCAAAGUGCUGGGAUUACAGGCAUGAGCCACCGUGCCCAGCCAGAAAAAAAUCAUUCUUUAUAGUCAAAGCUUAAAUGCUUCAUGACCCAUCUUCAUAGGAGAGUAUUCUUUUUAUGCUCUGUUCCCUGAUUUGGUGACUGUGAGAACUCUUAUAUAACAUUUAUGAAGUGCUUACACAGCAUUAAGAGAUAGGCAUGAAAAGAUGACUACAUCUUGCCUCAGCCCUGCAAGUACCUAUGGGAGAGUGACAUUUAAAUGUAUACAUGUAGCUAGGUGUGGUGGCUCAUGCCUAUAAUCCUAGCACUUUGUGAGGCUGAGACAGGAGGAUCGCUUGAGGCCAGGAGUUCAGACCACUGUGGGCAACAUAGGGAUCUCAUCUCUACAAAAAAUAAAAAAAAAUUAGCCAGGUGUGGUGGUUUGCAACUGUAGUCCUGGCUGUUCAGGAGGCUGAGGUGGGAAGAUCACUUGAGCUUAGGAGGUCAAGGCUUCAGUGAGCUGUGAUUUUGCCACUGCAUUCCAGCCUGGUGACAGAGUGAGACCUUGUCUCCAGUCGAUCAAUCAAUCAAUCAAAAAAAAAAUACAUAAAGUAUGAGCCAUACUGUGGUGGACGUAUGUGUAGGGGUAGAGAGAGGACACAAAUGAUCCUUCGAAAGGGCUUCAGAGAUGCCAUGACAUGUGAAAUAGCCAGGCUUCUUUGAGAAGGCACUCUAAACAGUUUGAUGGCUGUAUUUCUCAGCAGGAGCAGUAGUAACAUUUUGGAUAGGUCAGGUUGCUGUAUUGUCAUUAUACUCUCUUAAACAUCGCAAGAUAUUUAGCAGCCUUGGGUCUGUGGUCUUUUCCCACCAGCUAGCAUCAGUUGGAUCUGGGGAGAGCAGCUGGCAUCCUUCUUUAGAUGUGCUUAUACAAUAUGACUUUAUUAUUUUCUGAACUUCCUGUCCCUGCCAUUCCCAUUCAUUUCAUUUCAUUCACUGAAGACUUUGGCACCUGGCUUAUAGUUACCCUCUUCUCCCCAAGUCCCACCUUUAUGACGGUCACUUCAAAUUCCAUGUGGUUAACUAAACCAAUAUCCUGGCUCUCAACUGCUUGACCUCAAAUUUAGUGACCUUUACCUUUUCAUGAAGCCACCCAGUCUCUGAAUCUUAUAAUUAUUUAUGUCAGCAGCUACACCCUUAAAAACUUAAAAAACUCUUCUGCUCUUUGCCCAUUUUUCUAGCUUUUUAGCUGAAUGACUUCCAGUGCAUCUGUACUUCAGCUUCAAGAACUCCAAUCCCUUGGCUGUUCUCUCUCCCAGUCAGCUUCCAUCACUUCAACCAUUACACUCUUGCACCCUUUUCCCUCUGUUAGACCUACCGAGUAAAACACAACCCUAGGUCAGAAAUUAUAAUAAUAGCUAACAUAAACUGAGUGCUUAUUGUAUUCCAGACACUCUUCUGAGUUUACCUGGUUUGUCUCCUUUAAUAUUCUCAAUGGCGCUGUUAUCUCCAUUUUGUGCGUGAGGAAAGUAAAGCUCAAUUUUCUGUCUACUGUAGUAGGGUAUAAACCCUAGAAGUUUGCCCUUAGAAAAUGUGCAUUUAACCACUUAUUUAGCCUGCGUUUCAAAACAGCUGUCUUCUCUGCUUCCCCACUUGGACUGCUGUACUGUUUUCAGGACAGAGUAGGUUUGGCUAGGUGGAGAGUGUUGAAAGCACUCAUCUUAAACCUUGGCUAUGUAACUAACCCUUUUGGUAGGCCUCUAGCCAAGCCAGAAAACAGAUAAAGAGGGAAGUAACAGUGAUUAGGUAUUCAAUGUCACCAGCUGCUUCUGGGUGUCUGUAGACAGAGGGAGAAGAAAAGCUAAAGAGAAUAGGUAUCAGUUUGGGGAUUGAGUGUGAUGUCACCUUUGCCUGAUGACCUACUGAACAUUAGAGACUGAACUGACUUAAAAUUGGUAGAAUAAGCAUGAGAGAGUCCUCCAUUUGUUUGUUUGUUGUUUUUAAUUUUAGGUGAGUCUGAGUGAUUAUGUCAUGUAUAUGUAUGUCAUGGCUGAUGGGCUGAGGACCUCCAUUGCCCUCUCCGAGGCUUGGCUCAGCUGGCCUGGAGAGAUGUGCUAGGGAACAUGCACCCUCUUGUUACCUUCCAUCUCUAUCUGUUUUGAGAAAACCACUCUAACUAGUCUUUGCUGUGGAUUUCUCUCUCUAGAUGUCCUUCCUUUUGUUCUGGAUUUGUUGACGCUGACAUUGUCACUUGAAGUGACAGGGUAAAGCUUUUGAGAGCUGAUUGCUUCAGUUAUUAGGUCACCUGUGGGACUCUCUAAGUACCGUCAUGCAUCACUUGACUGUGGUGAUAUGUUCUGAGAAAUGUGUCAUUAGGUGAAUUCACCAUCAUGUUUAUUUACACACACAUAGGUGGUGUAGCCUACUACACACCUAGAUUGUAUGGUAUAGCCUGUUACUCCUAAGCUACAACCCUGUGCAGCAUGUUGCUGUACUAAAUACUGGAGGCAAUUGUAGCACAAUGGUGAAUAUUUGCAUUUCUAAACAUAUCUAAACAUGGAAAUGGCACAGUAAAAAUACAAUAUAACAGUUGUUUUUGUUUUUUAAUACACCUAUAUAGUGCAGCUCCAUUUUAAUCUUACGGGACCAGCAGUGUAUAUACUGUUCAUUGUUGACUGAAACAUUGUUAUGUAGUGCAUGAUGACUGUAAUUAAUUUAGGGCUUUGUUUUGACAAUGGUUUUGUUUGUUUGUUUGUUUGUUUUUGAGAAGAGUCUGGCUCUGUUGCCCAGGCUGGAGUGCAAUGGCGCGAUCUUGGCUCAUGGCAACCUCCGCCUCCUGCGUUCAAGCGAUUCUCCUGCCUCAGCCUCCUGAGUAGCUGGGGCCACAGGCGUGCACCACCACACUGGGCUAAUUUUUGUAUUUUUAGUAGGGACGGAGUUUCACCACAUUGCCCAGGCUGGUCUUGAACUCCUGUUUUCAGGUGAUCUGCCUGCCUCAGCCUCCCAAAGUGCUGGGAUUACAGGUGUUAGCCAUUGUGCCGGCCUUGACAAUGGUUUUCAUUUUCCUGUACACAAAAACUUUCCUGUCACCAUUCUUAGUCCCUUAAAGAGGCAAACUUUUAUUUUCUAGAUAUUUAAAAUAAUACCAAUAACUUCCUAUAAUUUUCAGAUUCACCAUAAUUUCUGCAUGUGAUACUCACAUAAAUGUAUUUCCACCACAAUUUUGAACGUGAAUUUAAGUCACUCAACUUAAUUCUCACUCACAAGAGAUAAGGCAGCCUCUGGUGGCAGGGAUUUUUCUUAGAAACCCCUUUCUGCUCGAAAGACUUCUUAGAGAAAAAUCACACAUUGGUGAAAACUAAUAGCAUGACAUUUAUGUUCAUGACUUUGCCUGGCAAUUCUUCUCUUUCCCAUUCUCCACAGGAGCUGUUUUAAACUUCUGCUGACCUUAGACCCUUCCCUAUGUGCUCACUAGAUCUCCUACUUUUUCAUUCUCAGCAGAUUAUUUUACCUCCCGUUUUCUCAGAGAAAACAGAAAACAUAAGAUGGCAACUUUAGCAAAUUAGUGCGACCAAACCUUCAAACUUACUUCAUUGAUAAACCAUUUUUGUUCUUUUUUUGUUUGUUUGUUUGUCCUUUUCUCCUUGCACAGUGGAAAAGGUGGUCCUCUUCUGGUCCAAGCCUCUGGAUCUCUUCCCAUUCAUUCCUACUCUUUAGGAUUUUUCUCGUUUACUUAGCUAUGGCUCCUUCCCACUGGCAUUUAGGCAUUCUCACAUCUUUUCUGUCUUAGAAGAAAAAAAUAAAACCAUCCUACACCAAUUUGCCGCUCUCUCUUCUGUUUCAUACCUCUCUGUCCACAGACAAGUGUUCAUGAAAAAGUUGUCUUUACUCACUGUUUAUUUCCGUGAACUUCCUGUUUAUUCUUCAACCAACUGCAACAUUUUAUCUCAACUGAAAUUACCAGUUUUAAAGGUCACUAACUACCACUUCAUUUCUAAAUCCACUGGGUAUUUCUCAGACCCUAUCUGACUUGACCUCUGUUCAGUCCAGUGUGACAGUUUAUCCACUUUCUUCUUGAAAUCUUCUUUUACUUGGGCUUCACUGACACCAGUGUUUCCUAGUAUUAAAUAAUUUACUUCUGUGGUCAUUCUUUUGAAUGUCUUUAGAGCUUUGCCUUCAUUCAUUCUCUCAUCCUUUUAUUUGUGUAUUUAUAAAGCAUUUAUUACAUGCCAGGCAGCAUACUAAGUAUUGGAGACUGAGAAUCUGAAGCAAUACCUGGACUCUUUCUUCAGAAAAAUAUACUCCCAAACAAACACUGAAAAUUUGGCAUACAUUUUCAAGCCUCUCACACAGUGUUAAAUACAUGCAUAUCACUCUAGAAUCUUGCUUCAGGGCCUCCGAAUUAUCUUAGCAGAAAGUUGUUUUUUUUUUUUUUGAGAUGGAGUCUCGCUCUGUCACCCAGGCUGGAGUGCAAUGGCACAGUCUUGGCUCACUGCAACCUCCGCCUCCUGGGCUCAAACGAUUCUGCUGUCUCAGCCUCCCAAGGAGCUGGGAUUACAGGCAUGUGUCAUCACGCCCAGGUGAUUUUUGUAUUUUUAGUAGAGACAGGGUUUCACCAUGUUGCCCAGGUUGGUCUUGAACUCCUGACCUCAGGUGAUCCACCCGCCUCAGCCUCCCAGAGUGCUGGGAUUACAGGUAUGAGCCACCAUGCCUGGCCAGAAACUUUUAUAGAAAUAUUUUUUAAAACUGCCCCAAGAGGCUUAAAUUUUCUUUUAAAGCCCAUGGAAAGUGAAAAUGAAAACAGUUUUUCCCAGAAAAAGAUUUUGCUACCGUUGGAAAUUUUCUUCAAGGCAUUAAGACUAAACAAGUUCUUUCAAGCUAACAUUUGUGAACAAUCUACUUUUCCCCUUCUCCCUCCAACCCCUACUCCCAUAUGCUUUGAUUGGUGUCAUAAGAAUACAAUUCAGGAAAGAGACUUAACCCAUCCAUGAAAAGGAGAAAAUGGAAUUAUAAGAGCUGAUAUCUUUACUUGAGAGUAGAUUGAAUAGGGUUCUCACAUCUACCAGGGUUCAAAUGGUGGAUAGGAUACCAACUUCAGAGAAGGGGUGGAGACAAGAGGUUGAGUAAUUCCUCAUUUGAUGAAGUUAUUUUCAUGUCAAGAGAAGGAAAUGGUCCUGGUGUUGAUAUCUUGUGGUUACAGGUAAUAGAAUAUCUGCAUUCUGGGCACUAUCCCUUUAUGUCAUCUAUGCUUUACAACCCUCUUCCAAAAUGGGUGGGUGCUAAGAAGAUCCAACCCCAUCUUCCUCAUGUAACAUAUAUUUUAAAAAAGAAUCUUCUAGCCAAAGACUUGUUAUUGGGGUUCUUUCGAUCGCUGGAAACAACUAGGGAAAAAAGAUGGUGAAUUUCAUGUUGCUUUUGGGGGCUAUUUUGUAGGAGAUAAAACAUUUGCCAAUGUUUUCACCCAUUGAAUACAUAUUGAGCAUCUACUCCAAUAGAGGGCUUGUAAAUGGUGAGUAAAAGCAGGUAAAACCCUUGUCCAUAAAGCUGAUGGUUUAAUGUUACAGAUCACCAGUAGCCAGAUAAUCACAAAUACAAAAAUGCAAAUGUAACAGGUGUUAGGAAGAAGCACAAGUUUCUAUAGAUCACCAGUAACCAGAUAAUCACAAAUAUAAAAAUGCAAAUAUAACAGGUAUUACAAAGAAGCACAAGUUUCUAUGAGAGUCUGUAACAAGAGAAUUUGAUUUUGUUAGAUCAGGGAAGUCUCCCUAAAGUGAUGCUCAAGCAGAAAUCUGAAGACAUGAAUAAAUGUUAACAAAUGAAGAGGGAAGGAAUGUGUGCCCCUGAUAAAAGGGCUAAUAUAUGCAAAGGACCUGUGGUAGGAAAGAACAUUCAAAUAUAGGUAUCAGAAGAAAGGCCAGUGGUCGGAGGGGAGAGAAGGGGGAGGAGAUGACACUUGAGACCAGGUUCGAGUUUUGAGAAGAUCUCCGUGGCCGCAAUUGGAGCAAGGAUUAGAGUGGGGCAGAGUAGACCUAAGACCAGUCAUCCAAGCAUGAGAUAAUGGUAACUAGGACCCAGGUAGUGGGGAUGGAAAUUUAAGACAUUGAUUGUAUUUAAUACUUGGUAAUUGGUUUUGAAUAUUAGAUUAGAUUAUAUAUAAUUGUUUGCUAGUAUUUAGCAGAAACAGUUUGACUCUUUUGGUAUUGAAAUAAGAAUUAGUGGUUUAAAAAAGUGUGUGUAUGUAUGUGUGUAUAUAUAAAAGUAUAUAUAUAUUUUUUACCUUUUGAAUAUUGCUAUAUGUAUUUAUUACCUAUUCAAAACAUUCUUAGUUCUAAAGCCUUUUGUAAAUAUUAAUUCAGGGAUUCUCAUUGAAUUGGUUAAGAGCAGAGACAAAUGCUAAGCAAAUAAAUCAAUUCAUAAUUUCCAAGUAGAAUUUUACCAAACCGUAGAUCUGAUUGGUCAUUGCAGCAAAGUUUCUUCUUUUUAUUUGGGAAGAGCCUAAAAAUAUUCUUCCCAUAUACCAAAGGACAAGGGGCAGUCAGUGAAGACACCUCCACUGCCCUCCACACAAUCUUCAAAAGUGCCUAGAGAAGGAUUUUGUUAUACAGAAAGAAUCAGAAACUAUAAAACAUGGUGUGUCGAAGUCUCAACCCCCGUUCUGCUGUCAUGAAGAUUUAGAGGAAUGGGGUUGACUUAUGAGAGGCGGGGCAGGCCUCCAACUCUCCGGAUUAAGGAAAAGUGUUGUAGGUUGAGGUAGCUGUGAAAGAGACUGUGAGAGUGAUUUGGCUAUAGGUGGCUUAAUGAGGAGGAUUCUUGGGUGUAAUAUGAGUGAGGGAGUAAAGGAAGCAGAAUUAGGCAAAAGAAGGAGUUAGUUGAGCUGUGAUGCAGUCACAACAAAGAUGUAAGGGGAUCCUACAAGGGCACUCCGGAGUUGGGAUGACCCUUCAGAGUUGUUGCAAGUUGGGGCAAGGGCACAAAAGUACAUGUACUUUUAAAAAGUCAUGGAAGACUGUACACUGACGCACAAGCCAGUCCCUCCUUGAAGCCUAUUACAUCCAUCAAAUAUGAAUAAGCCUUACUUUUGAGAAAAUUGAGUCUUGGACCUUUGAGAAUCAAUCUUCAAACUAAAAAGUACCUCUGUGAUUUUAAAAGCAAUUUUUAUAACCAGGGUUGAGAUUAUUUAGCUUGUUUAGAUGGGCUAAUGGAACAGUCUUUUGUUAGUAUUCUGCAUGAUUCCCUUACUGACAUUCAUUUUAUAACCGUACCCAACUCUAAUUCAAAUGCAGAUUUAGAUGUGAUACUUAAAGACCUGUGGUAAAAUUGCAGGAAGAGGGUGUUUGUCUUUCUCAGUGUGUUUUCUGUAAUAGUGAAGGUUUAUUGGUUUCUCACUUGCGUGCCACCAGCAUGCUUUGAAUAACAAGACUACUUACGAUCUCUAUACAUAUGGCUGAAUUUCUAAGGUGUGCAGCUUCUUCAUAUUAAUUGGUUUAGGACAUUCAUAAAUUACAGCACCCAGGUGGGUAGGUAUAAUUAGCUAAAAUUUUAUUUUUUGCUUCAAAAAUCAUGGUUCAGUAGCAUUCACAACCUUAAGAGCACUAGCAGCUGUAGCGUAGGAGUCACGAAUAUAACACAUCUCAAAAGACAUGGGAAGUAUGAACAUCUUAACCUUAAGACAAGUAAAGAGGGGUGUCUGUGUAUGUGUGUGUGUCUGCGUGUAUUUAUGCAUGUGUGUAAAAUAUCAGAAUAUUCAGAAAUCCAAAAGGUAGCAUUUUGAGGAGGGCACAAUAAAAUGUACACAUAUCUGACCGUAUUGGAGAAGAAUACAGGAAACUAUACAAAGAUGUCUGUAUCAGUUACAAUGCUUUUGGCAGCAAGUAACAAAUCCAGACUCCAAGAAGAUUAAAUAGUAAAAUUAACUCAUUGAUGACAGGAACUCCAGCUAUAGGGUAGGCUUUGAGGCUUGGUUGCCUUUAUUCACUGGCACAGUAAUGUCAUCAAGGGCACAGGUUCUUUGCAACUCUCUGUCAUAUUUUAUGUUACAAUUGGUUGGUGAAAGUAUGUAAUCAUGACUUCAACCUCAAGCUGUAGCAAGACAGCUGCAGCAGUUCCAGGCAUCACAUCCAGAGCUGGCAACAUUUGCUCACAUUGUUAGAAAACUUCUAGAAUCCUCCCAGCAGAGUUCCUCAGUGUGUCCUAUUGGCCAGAUUCUAAAUGUGCCCAUUUCCUUUUUUUGCUUUUAGAGACAAGGUCUCACUCGGUUGCCCAGGCUGGAGUGCAGUGGCAUGAUUAUGGCUCACUGUGAUCUCAAACUCCUGGGCUCAAGCAGGGUAGCUGGGAAUACUAGCAUGAGCCACUAUGCCCAGCUAAUUAAAAAAUUUUUUUGUGUGUGUAGAGACAAGGUCUUGCUAUGUUGACCAGGCUGGUCUUGAACUGCUUGCCUCAAUUGAUACUCCCACCUUGGCUUCCCAAAACGCUGGGAUUACAGGCAUGAGUUAACGCACCUGGCCUUGUGCCAGUUUCUUGAACCAAGCACUGGCAAAGAAAAUGAAUUACUUUUAGUCUUCUAAGUCCUCUCCCUGUAAUUGAGGGCAGGUUCAGCUUCCAAUGUUGAUGUGGGGGUGGGGGAAGGGCACAUGACAAAUCAAGCUUCUGUUAGAAGGAAAAAAGGAGAAAUGGAUGCUAGGGUAGGCAAACUGAAUCUUCUGUAAUACAUCUAUUGUCUUCAAAGCUCUUUGAUUAGAACAGUGCACACCAAAAGUAGGGGGGCAGUGAAUGAGAAAGCUGCUUCAUAUUCUACCAGUGGACCACAGAGUUAGAAAGCUACUGACCUAAUAGGCUCAUUAAGAAGUCAUUCUUUUGUCAGGUAGCAUUUAACAAUAUAUUUGACAAAGAAGGUUAAAGGAGCGUGGAUUGGCUGCUAGGAGAAGAAACUAGAGCUGUUUUGGAGUUGAUGAAAGUUCACCUCAUCCCUUUAGCAGUGGUUCUUAAAAUAUGGACCUCCCAAAAUCUGAAUCAGAAUUUCCCAGGGUAAUUAUUAAAAAAUGCAGAUUCAUAGGCACUGUCCCAGACUUACCUUAUGAAGUUGGGGUAGGGUGUUAGGAGCCUGCAUUAAUUAGCUCUUUGAUUAAUGCACACUGGCAUUUAAGAUUCACUGCUCUAUAGACUAGUAUCAUAUAUAACAAUAAUGAACUUCUUUCCACUGUGCUACAAAUAAACCAUUCAUGCUGGAUUGGUCAAACAAAAUCAAUUUGUAACAUAUUUGAAGACCAGUGCCAUGAGCUAAAGGGUCACUCUAAGCAAGGAGCCCAGAUCCUGAAAUAAACUUAUAUACUGUACCACUGAAAGAUUCUGGCAGUGGCUUUCUCUAACACCCCUCCCCCAAAUCUCCCUGCAUUUUAAAUCUCCAGAUAGCUGACUGUCUCUGUCAUUCAAGCUAGCAUUUUACCUCAUCCAAAUAAUAUGUUCUGUGUGUAUAUAGGUUAGCAUGAAUGAAAUCUCUACUACUUAGCUAAUGAAGGGGCUGUGAGAUCUUACUUUUUAGAGGAACUUUCCAGAGUCAUCUUCACAUUCAAUGUUCUUAUUGUUGCCCUAUUCCUUAAAAAAAAAAUCCACUUAAUGACCAAACAGUUUUAGGGUAUUUGUAAACAGAAGUGUUAGAGGAACUGUUUCUCUUGUUUCCAUAGCGGGUAUGAGUUUCUACUCCAGUCCGUAGGGAGAAAGAGGAGUGAGAAAUACUUUCGGCCACUUCCCCUCCUCAGGGUAGGAGGGAGACUAUAUGAUCUGUGAGUUGAGGAUAAGGAAAUAGGCAUGUUUGGCUUCUCUCCCCUUCUGAUCUUCACAUUGGCAGAGGGGGGCAUGUCUGGUUCACUCAUACAUGCAGGAAGUUUAUUGCAGUAAGCCUAUUCUGGUAGGGAAGGCCUACAGUUGUCCUGCCCUGCCUGUGUCUGGGAAUACUGAAUUAUGUGGUAAAGUAUCUGUUAGGUCACCCACUGAGAUAACACAUCUAAGGCAUGCCCUUUGAGGUAGGUUUUAUUAGUUCUAAAGCUGAUACUUUGAUCUUCGUCUGCCUUAUUCCCAUUUUUAUCUGUGCAUUGAUCUGACUUUUCUCCCUUUUUGGGGAGGAGAAGAAAAGGGUGAUAUUUAUUAGCCCCCCUGGAACCUAGAAUAGAAUCAUGAUCAAAUUUCCUUGUCUCCAGGGGCACACCUGUGAGGUGAGGGAGCACGAUGGGGAAUAAGGCUCAAGGAAGAUGAUAUGACUCUGGCUUCCCCUUAGAAAUUGUGCUUUACUCAAGCUUUGGAGCUUGAGGGUGCCUUUUGGCAGGGACUGCAAAAGUUAUCUGUCUUUAUCUUGUCUUAUAAUUAGUGGGAGAAAGUUCAUAAUUAUGAUUUUAUGAGCAUGAAUCCAUUUGUUAACAAAAGUAAACGUCCCAAUUGUGUAUAUUUUUGGAAGUCUCCAAAGAUCUUACUUAGUGUGGGCUAGGGAAGGUUGUACCCAUCUAGUGGAAUGCUUUUUCCAUUCUCCACUUUAUUACUCACAUUGCCCUGUCUGUGCCAGAGUCAUCCCGAGGCUCCCUGCAGAUAUCAUCAUGAGAAGCCAUGGUAGACACAGCAUACAUAUUGCCUACCCAGUAUGUAUUUAUUCUUUCUUUCUUGUUAUUGAAACCUCAGUUUCGCUUGGGAUAACAAUUGCCAGCCUCAGUCUAUGAGUCAUGAUUCAUAUGUGUCAGUCAUAACCAUCUUGUUUCAUUUUGCAAGACCCUCAUUGGCCUUCUUGCAGAUGUGGAUGGUUAUGUGACCCAGUUCUGGUGGAUGAAUCAUAAGAGGAAAUCUGCUGGAGGCUUCUGGGAAGAUUUUCUUUUCUGAUAACAGUGACAGAUGUUUCUUAGCUCUUCCUAUCUUGAACAUGGACAUACUAUCUUGGCUGCACCAUCUUACCUCAUUCUUAUGACAGAACAAAAUACACUAUUCAUGAAGUCUGCAAAGAACAUUGAGACACUGGGUGCCCAGCCAUGUAAGUUUAACGCUGCCCCAUACAGUUUUCACAUAGAUAAGUAGGGCUACUAUUGAAUAUUACACAGAAUAAUCUUUUUUCCCAGGAUCAAAAUUAGGUACAUGAUCCCAGAACCAACUGUGCAGCUUACAUUUAACCAAUGGCUGACACAUUGCCUGAUACAUAAAAGGCAAUACUACAACAGAAUUUGUGGAAUGAGAGAAAAAUGAAUCAUUGAAAAUAUGUAUGGGUGAAUGAAGUAACUAAUGAGCCCAAAUACCAUUUAUCAUGAAUUUCUAAUAUGAUGUAGUUUGGUUUCGUUCACUGCUGAGUACAAACAAAAUAGUACUGUACUCAGCACUAAAAACAAACAACAUGGAUGAACCUUAAAAACAGUAUGCCAAAUGAAAGAAGUCACACCCAAAAGAGAACAUCGUGUAUAAUUCCGUUUGUUUGAAACUAUAGGAAAGGCAGACUUAUUCCACGUUGGUAAAUCUUCAUCUCAUGGGUGUUUCUCUCAGUGGUUGCCGGGGCCAGGGGCUUGGAUACAGGGAGGAUGGAGUGGGAGGGGCACAAAGAAUCCUUUUAGGAUAAUGGAAAUGUUCUGUAUCUUGGUUGUGGUGGUGGUUGCAUAGGUGUCAAAAGUUACUGAGUAUGUGCAUUUUAUUGUGUGUAAAUUAUACCUCAAUAAAUUUGAAUUUUCAAAAGAAAGCUCACUUCUUCAGGACCAAUAGUAGGGAGAGGCACUGAUGCUGAGUGUGACUCGUAAUUCAUGCAGCCGUGAGAGAUCCUCAUAGAACAGGAGGACAGAGGUGAAAAGGUUAUCUGCCAGACAAAUUUUUCUGAGUCUACAAGGAAGUGGCCUUAGACCAGGUCAUUUUUGUAGGUUCCCUGCAUCUUUGUAGGCUCCUUUGUAGGCUUCUCUCUACUUGAGCAAGAAAAGGCCCAAAUUUUGUUGUAGAUCAAGACUUAGAAGGUUCUCUUGGAAUGAGGUCUUCAAUACUUGAACCUUUGGAUUUUUUAAAACCGAAAAAAACAAUAUCUGCACAAAUACCUACUAAGGCUUUUAUCUAGAACCUGCUCUAAGAUAUAAUGAAAUCAGUCUACUUUUUGAUCUAAGAAGCUUUUUUUUCCUAAAAAAGAUAUAUUUUCUCAAUUGUAAAAGUAAUCCAUAAUUACUGUAAGAAAAGUUAGAAAACACAAAUUUGCAAAGGCAAAAAUAAAAAUCAUCCAUUUUCACUACCCAGCGAUAACUAUGAUGACCCCUUGACAGACAUCCUUUCAGAUUAUCAAAUUAAAUUAGUUGUCUUUGAAUCAGUUAAACAUACCCAUUAAGCUACCAGGAAGUGACCUGUGAAUAAGGGAGGCUUUCAGCCUCUCUGUAAUCAAAGACUACUUUCACUUAGUACCUUACUAGAAGGCAUAUCUGUAAAAUGUGAGUCUUACUAAAUGUACCAGUUGCUAAUAUGGUAGCACAUACCCUAACAAUCCUUUUAAUAUAUAUUUCUCAGUGCUAUUUCUUGGAGAGCAUGGUUUCUAGGAUUCUAGAUUUAACUUUUAUUUUUCCAUGCCUUGAUAUGAGACCCACAGAGGCCAUAGUCCUUAAAAGACAUGAACAGUGUUUCCCUCAGGUAUGUGAAGGAAGAGAAGUGUGAAAUUGGAGGAUAUGGUCACCUUAUCUCAGGCUUUGACAGGCCCCCUCCCUGGUGUCUAAAACCCAUGAGGUACCUCUGCCAAAAGGAAAGACAAAGAACCUUUGCUGAGCUAUUUAUUGCCUUCUGUGUGUUGGGAGAGGGGGUAGUGUUGGUGGCUGAGUGUGAAAACUCCUGGGACAGUCAUCUUUUUAUUUCCACUAGUGCCCACCACAGUGCCUGAAAUGCAGUAGUUUAGUGGUGUAUUGAAUGAAGGUAUUAACAAUUGUGUUAAUAAUCAAGGUCAAAGAGAACUCAGGUCAUGUGAGGUCAUAUGUUGAUACCAGCUCACUUCUGAUGACUCUUAACUGUGUAAAAGACCCAGACCUUAGCCAUGGCUGUUACCCUUCCAGGACAUGUCCCUAGCCCGGUAACCCAGUGGAGUGGAGGUCGGUACAGGAAUAAUCUGCAGACCAUUACAAGAACAUGGCUGCAUUCUGUAGGCCCAUGCCAUCCAGUCCUGCACUUCUGUACUGGGGUGGCUUUCCAUGGCAAAAGUUUGUCACCCGCUAUCUUGGGAACCUUUUGGAGAAGGACAUGCAUGUAUAUGGAGCAUAGUUUUUCAAGUAGGCCUCAAGACUUUCUCCAUCAGAAUCACCUGUAUAGUGUCUUUUAAAAAUAUAGAUUCUUGAUUCUUAUUCAAGAUUUACUGAAUUGGAAUCUUUUGGUCCUGAGAUGCAGAUGAUUCUUAUGUACCCCAUUUGAGAACCCAGGACUAAGUAGUGUAUUUCAAGCUUUUUGGACUCUGACCUAGAGUUAGAAAUAAGUUUAGUAAAAACAAUAUUUGUACUUACUAGAGCAGUGUAGUCUUACAGUUUCUAUUUGUUGUUGUUUUUUUGUUUUUGUUUUGUUUUGUUUUUUUCUGUUUAAUUUGCUGGCUGCGACCCAGUAAUUUCUUUUCUUUUUUUUUUUUUUUUGAGACCGAGUCUUGCUCUGUUGCCCAGGCUGGAGUGCAGUAGCGCGGUCUCAGCUCACUGCAACCUCCGCCUCCCGAGUUCACACCUUUCUUCUGCCUCAGCCUCCCGAGUAGCUGGGACUACAGCCGCCUGCCACCAUGCCCAGCUAAUUUGUUGUAUUUUUAGUAGAGAUGGGGUUUCACUGUAUUAGCCAGAAUGGUCUCGAUCUCCUGACCUCGUGAUCCGCCCGCCUCAGCCUCCCAAAGUGCUGGGAUUACAGGCAUGAGCCACUGCGCCCAGCUCUGUGCUUAUUCUCAUCUACAUGUUUAAAUAUAAGCAUGUAUUCAUGUACUGUUAGUGUACUUAAAAACACCUUGAAAGUAAAAUAUGGUUCUAAAACAUAAAUCAUCUUUUUAUAUAUGCAAACAAUAACCAGAUAAAAUACAGUGGAAAAACAAAUUUCAUUCACAGUUGUGGUAAUUUUUUUUUUUUUUUGAGAAGGAGUCUCGCCCUGUCACCGAGGCUGGAGUGUAGUGGCACGAUCUCAGCUCACUGCAACUUCCACCUCCUGGGUUCAACUGAUUCUCCUGCCUUGAGUAGCUGGGAUUACAGGCGCCCGCCACCACGCCCAGCUAAUUUUUGUAUUCUUAGUAGAGAUCGGGUUUCACCAUGUUGGUCAGGCUGGUCUCGAACUCCUGACGUCGUGAUCUGCCCACCUCACUCUCCCAAUGUGCUGGGAUUACAGGCGUAAGCCACCGUGUCCAGCCGGUAAUUAUUUUUAAAGGGUAAGAUACCCAGAAGUAAACUUAAGAAAUGUGUAAGAUCUAUAUGAAGAAAACGUAAAGAUUGUACUGAGGGUCAUUCAAGAAGAUUUCAAUACACAGAUAUAUCUUGUCACACUCGGGCACUCCAGCCUGGGCGACAGAGUGAGGGGAGAGACCCUGUCUCAAGAAAAAAAGAAAAAGGAAGAUAUAUGUUGAUAGGAACAUGUCCCCCCUACAGUACAAGCAAGGGUAAAAAAAUGUUAACUGGUAAAAAUAUUUGUAACAGGUAAAAUAGUUAAUGGGCUAAUUUCUGACUAUUUGGAGUGCUUUUUAAAACCAAGAACUAACAACCAAAGGAAAAUUGGUAAAGGAAUGAACAGCUAUUUCAUCAAAUAAGUAUAAGUAGUCAGUACACUCACACAAAAAUGGUCAUCUCUACUGAGAAUUUAAGAAAUGCUAAUAAAAACAAAAAUGAGAUAUUUUUACCUGAUAUAUUUACAAAGAUGAAAUCGUUUGAUAAUAAUGUCUGUUGUUGAAGAAGUGUGGUAAAAAUAUAUAUUUAUUAGAGCAUAUUUAAAUCAUUUCAAAACAUUAGAAAAUGAUUAAAAUAUAUUCUAUUCAUAUAAUCCGUAUGGCCAACCCUUCCAAAAUAUUCUUUGGAUAUAUUUUAAUUUCAUGAAAAAAUAUUGUUGCUGAUAUAUUGUGAAGUACAAAAAAUAUAAUACAAAAUUACAUAUUUAAUAUGCAGUCCAUGUAGAAAUAAUAUAUGUGUGUACAGGAAAGAUCCUCAAAGCAAAUGAUUAGUUAUGUCCCCUUUUUUUUGUUUUUUUGGGAGAGGGUCUCACUUUGUAGCCCAGGCUGGAGUGCAGUGGUGCAAUUUCGGCUCACUGCAACCUCUGCCUCCCAAGCUCAAGCGAUCCUGCCACCUCAGCCUCCUGAUCCCGAGUAGCUGGGACUAUAGGCAUGUGCCACCAUGCCUAGCUAAUUUUUUUUUGUAUUUUGGUAGAGACGAAGUUUCUCCAUGUUGGUCAGACUGGUCUUGAACUCCUGAGCUCAAGUGAUCUACCUGUCUUGGCCUCCCAAAGUGCUGGGAUUACAGGCAUGAGCCACCAUGCCCGGCCCGUUAUGCCCUUUUGCUUUAUAUUUUUCGUUUUUCAAAUUUUCUUUCUUUUUUUUUUUAGACGGAGUCUCGCUCCGUGCCCAGGCUGGAGUGCAGUGGCACGAUAUCGGCUCACUGCAACCUCCACCUCCCUGGUUCAAGCAAUUCGCCUGCCUCAGCCUCCCAAGUAGCUGGGAUUACAGGUGCACGCCACCACAUCCAGCUAAUUUUUUUGUAUUUUUAUUAGAGACGGAGUUUCACCAUUUGGUCAGACUGGUCUUAAUCUCCUGACUCAGGCAAUCUGCUCGCCUCGGCCUCCCAAAGUGCUGGAAUUACAGAUGUGAGCCACCACACCUGGCCCAUUUUUCAAAUUUUCUAUGUUGACCAGUCAGAAACAAACAGUGAAAAUUAAUAAAUAAAAAAAAAGAGACCUCAUGUGAUCCUGUAAGCAUUGGUGUAAUGGUAGCAUACUCUGUACUCUGAUAUGUCUUGGAUAUCAUCCAUACCAAUGAGUAUAGAGAAAUAUUUUGUUCUUUUAAUGCCAUUAUAAUAGCAAAACAGAGUCCCUAUGGAUGACCAUUUAAGUUGUUUCUCAUCUUUGCUCUUAUCAGUAAUGGUGAAAUAAAUAAUUUGUACCUAUCCCAUUUCACAUGUAUAUAACUCUUAACCUGUAGAGUACAUUCCUAGAAGUGGAAUUUCUGGGUCAAAAGAUUUUUGCUUUUGUAACUUUGAUAUAUAUUGCCAAAUUACCUUUCAUAGAAUUCGACCUAUCAGACACUCGUAAGUAAUGUAGAAUAAUGCCUACACCCUCACCAACACUGUUACCAAACUCUAAGAUGAGGCUGAAUAUCUUUUCUUCAGAGACAUUUGUAUUUCUUUUUCUGGGAACUGCCUGUUCAUAUCUUUCCAUCUUUAUAUGUUAAGGAAAUUAUCCCUUUGUCUGGAGAUUAAUUGCAAAUACUUGACCUAUGUUGUUAUUUGUCUUUUGACUUUGAUUAUGAUGAUUUUUGCCUUGUAGAAAAUUUUGAAAAAUUUAUAUAAAUUUUAUUGCAUUGGUAUUCUUUUUUUUUUUUUUUCUCUGAGAUGGAGUCUCACUUUGUCGUCCAGGCUGGAGUGCAGUGGUGCGAUCUUGGCUCACUGUAACCUCUGCCUCCUGGGUUCAAGUGAUUCUCCUGCCUCAGCCUUCUGAGUAGCUGGGAUUAUAGGCACAUGACACCACACCCAGCUAAUUUUUGUGUUUUUGGUAGAGUCAGGGUUUCGCCAGGCUGGUCUCGAACUCCUCAUCUCAGGUGAUCCACCCACCUUGGCCUCCCAAUGUGCUGGGAUUACAGGCAGCCACUACACCCAGCCUGCAUUUGUAUUCUUACACAUUCUGUCUUUGAGGUUAUAAAAUAAUUCUUCCAUGGUUUCUUUUUGGUCAGAAUUUAAAUGUUUUAUUUGUUUAUUUAAUUUUGUUUUAAGAGAUGAGGUCUCACUCUGUUGCCCAGGCUGGAGUGCAAUGGUGAGAUCAUAGCUCACUGUAAUUUCCAACUUCUGGGCUCAAGCGAUCCUCCCACCUCAGCCUCCCUAGUAGUUGGGACUACAGGCAUGCACCAUCAUGCUUGGCUAAUUUUUAAAUUUUUUUGUAGGGAUGGGAUCUCACUGUGUUGCUCAAGCUUGUCUUUGAACUCCUGGAUUCAAGUGAUCCUCCCACCUCAGCCUCCAUAGUAGCUAGAACUACAGACACGUACCACUACACCUGGCUAAUUUUUGUAUUUUUUACAGAAACGAGAGUCUCGCUAUAUCACCCAGGCUGGUCUCAAACUCCUGGCCUCAAACAAUCCUCCCACCUCAGCCUCCUAAAAUGCUGGGAUUACAAGCAUAAGCCACUGUGCCCAGCCUAAAACUUAAAUUUUUUGAGGUGUGGAAUCCAAAUUUGUUUUUCUAGGUGGCUACCCAGUUGACCUAACUCAAUUUAUUGAAUAAUAUUUAUUUUCCUCUACUAAUUUAAGAUACCACCUUUAUUAUAUAAUAAAUUCUAAAUAUGUUUAUUUUGGGAAUUUCUGUUCUGUUUCACAGAAUUGUGUGUCAACUCAUUUGCCAGUACCAUUUUUAUUUUUUAUAGAUUUGUAAUAUAUUUUAAUAUGUCAUGGGGCUUUUCUAUAUUCAUUAUUCUUUAUUUAGGUAAUUUAAAAAAAUUACCUUGUUAGAGUAUGUUAAAUUUAUAGAUUAAGGACAAUUGACAUCUUUAUAAAGUUUACACUUUCUAUAAAAGUAUAUGGUAUGCCUUGUGCAACUUUCUUUUGUGUCAUAAGUAUUUUAGAGUUUUCUUUAUGUAGAUCUUGUGCAUGUGUUGUAUUUAUUGCCAUUUUGUCUUAUUUUGGUGGCCAUUAUAAUUGAGUAUAUCUUGCAUUAAAUCUAAUUGGUUGUUGUUUGUAUAUAUGAGAGCUAUUUUAAUUGUGUAGCCAGCCAAUUUACUAAAUUUCCUUAUCACGUGUGAUAGUUUUUCAGUUGAUUACCUUGCAUUUCCAGGUAUACAUUGAUUCUGCAAAUAGUUGUAAUUUUACCUCCUCCUUCCCAAUGUUUAAACUGUAUUUUAUUUUCUCUUGUUUAGUUGUAUUGCAUGUAUAGGUAGGUAUUAGUUUUUUUCUUUUUCCCUUUUAUAAUUCAUUUUUACUGCUUUUGUCUUAUUUCUUUCCUCCUGCUUUUGUUUGGUUUCUUGUUCUUAGACUUUUUCAGUUGGAUGUUAAUUUUAUUCUGAGCAUUGCUUUAGUUUUAUCCCAGAGCUCAUGAUACGUAGAAUUUUUGUUACAAGUGAUUUUCUAGAUAAUUUGAAAUUUCAGUUUCGAUUUCUUAUUUGACCUAAAGAUUAUUUGAGUUCUUUGGUCCUAUUACAUAUUUCUUUUUAGUCACAUUUUCAUCAGAAUAUGUCUUCUGUAGUAAUUCUACUUUUUGGAAUUGUUGCAGUUUUUUGGUGGAUUAAUACAUAGUCAAGUUUUGUAAAACCUCACAUUAGAGUUUGAUAUUAUCCAAGAAAACUUACAGAAAUAUAGUCAGUUAUUAGUAUACUGUUGUGUAAAGUGAAAUCCAGUAAUGGAUUGACCUCAUCUAACAAAGGCAAAAGUGGAAGUGUUUUUGCAGUUUGGAAACCAUGAAUUUUAUUUUCUCUAGAUAAGCUGCAGAUUAGCUGGUAGCUAGCAAAGAGGCCAGUAAGGAUAUUCUGAUCUCAGGCACCUAGAUGGGUCAACAAAGAAAGCAAUUUCAGUUAUCUAAGGACUCUUUAGAAGACAGAAUUUUGCUGUUGGCAUGCGUGACAGGCUAUCUCUGUACAUCUGGCGGUGUACUUUGUUUUCUCUGCCGUCUUUGUUAUUCCAGGUCUGCACCAUUUCCUUCUCAGAAUAUCUAAUAUGUGUCCAUUAGAUGAACCAUAAUGGUGUGUUAGGGUUUUGUAUAUCCUUGCUUUUUUUUUUUUUAAUGUUACUGAUCUGUCAUGGACUUAGAGAAAUAAAUUAGUUUCUUACCUACCAUCUUUUUUUUUUUUUUUGAGACGGAGUCUUGCUCUGUCACCCAGGCUGGAGUGCAGUGGCGCCAUCUCGGCUCACUGCAAGCUCCGCCUCCUGGAGCUUUCUCCUGCUUCAGCCUCUGGAGUAGCUGGGACUACAGGCGCCCGCCACCACACCCGGCUAACUUUUUGUAUUUUUGGUAGAGACGGAGUUUCACCGUGUUAGCCAGGAUGGUCUCGAUCUCCUGACCUCGUGAUUCGCCCGCCUCGGCCUCCCAAAGUGCUGGGAUUACAGGCGUGAGCCACUGCACCCUGCCCCAUGUUUUUCUUUUAUUUCUCUGUAAAACCUUUAUAGUUUGUGCAUAAUAUUGCUACAGUUAUUUGAUCCAGAAGUAUUAAUAACUUCAUCCUUAUCAUGAACUGUAACCUUUAGCAUUAUAAAGUGCCCUUUUUAAAAUUUGGUUUAAUACAUUUUGGCCAAAAUUCAGCCUUGUCUGUUAUUAAGAUCUUGAUCCUUGCUUUUUGUUUGAGUUUUUCUGGUAUCUCUACUUUUUCGUUGAUCUUCAACCUUUCUUAAUCAUUUUAUUUUAGACCUGUCUCUCAUACAACAUAGAUUUGAGUUUCACUUUGUGAUUCAGUCUGAAGUUCUUUUUCCCUUAAUAGUUGAGUUUGUUUUCAUUUAUUGAUUUGAUAUGUUUGGACUUAGUUCUGUCAGAUUAUUUUGUUAUACUUUUGCUAUUUAUACCUUUAAAGUAUAGUUUACUAUAUGGAAAGUUUGCUUUGUUUUAUUCCUUCUUUUCAUAAUUAGAAAGCUUUGUGUUUUUGUUCCUGUAGUUAACUUUGUAAUACAGAUUGUAUAAUCAGUAUUUCUGUUUUCUAUUUAGCCAGUAUCUCAGUAUCUGUAAUUCACUUUUAUAAGUAAUAACAGAAUUAGUAUAUUUCCUUUCCUUUAUUCUAUCCCUCAAUUCUAUCAAUUUUGUUUUCUUUCUUAGGGUUUACCUUUGUACCAUUAAAUAUCCAUGUACCAUUCUUACUCAAUUUGUCAUUAUUGCAGAAAGCUUUCUGACUCCCAUCUUCUCUUACUAACCUACCCUGAUACUGUCAGAUCAUUCUUCCUAAAACCACCAUUUUCUAAAAUCAUUAUUCUUUCUAAAACCAAUCUUCCUAAAAUCAUCAUUCUUCCUAAAAUCACCAGUAUCAUAUCACAAAUCCUCAGCGAUAUCUCUGACCCCACAAAGUCUGUAUUCUCUUCUGGCUUUCAAAACUCCGUAACUCAACCUCAUUCUACUCACUCAACUUUAUUUCCUCUACAACUUCUCAAUGAGUCUGCCCUCACUGUCCAACAAUUGAGCUGAGAAUAUAAGAAGGGAAGGGCUUCAGCCAGGCUAGUGCAGUCUGCUUUGUGCCAACACUGGGGUGAUGACUGCCCUAGUCUAGCUGAAGCUUUUCCCUUCUUUCUACACCCAGCUCAAGUCCCAGGUCCAUAAAACCUUUAGAAACUCUUCAGAAACUCUUUAGAGCUUCAGAAGCUCUUGAGAAUUGGAAGAUGUUUACACCCAAGUUCAAGGAUUACUUCCAUCCCAUUUCUGGUCUAUGUCAGGGGCCUCUGUUAACUAGGAACUCAGGAACUCUCAAAGCAGCACUACUCUGUUUGUAACAUUCUGGCUUAUUAUUCAUUGAAAUGUGAGAAACUUUGGACCACUGACUUAAUUCUGCCCUUUGCAGUAAUAGGACUUCUCACAUCUGGGAAGACAAGCAUUUUACCUUUCCUUAGGCUUCCCCAGGUGAAAACACCACCAGUUCCUUCAGUUGUUACUCAUAUAACAUGAUUCCUGGACCCAUCACCAGCUUGUGGCAAAACUUGGGUUUAUCACCAUUCCACUUAAAAUUCAGUUCACAAGAUUUUUGUAGAUACGAUCUAACCAGUGCUGAAUCUGAUGGGACUGUGCCUUCCUAUGAUCAGAGUACUCUACUUUUUAAAUCAACCCAAGGCAGCAUUUGUUUAUUAGUCACUGCCUACUUUUACACUGCAUUUUUGUUGUUGUUGUUUUGAGACAGGGUCUCACUUUGUCACCCAGGCUGGAGUAUAGUGGCACAAACAUGGCUCACUGCAGCCUCGACCUCCUGGGCUCAAGCAGUCCUCCUGCUUCAGCCCCACAAGUAGCUGAGACUACAGGCACACACCACCACGCCCAGCUAGUUUUUUUAUUUUUUGUAGAGAUGGGGUUUUGCCAUGUUGGCCAGGCUGGUCUUGAACUCCUGAGCUCAAGUGAUCCACCCACCUUGGCCUCCAGAAGUGCUGGCAUUACUGGUGUGAGCCACCGUGCUGGCCAAUUUUUUGUUACCUACAUCCCAAGAGCCUAUGAUGUGCUAUCAUACAUCAGAUCCCUAUCACACACAGGGGCGUAAGAUGAGUAAGACAAAAUCCCUGCUCUCAAGAAACAUAUGUUCAUUCUAUGAAAUACCUAACCACGGAUUUUCAGAACUGUCGAGGUCAUCACAGACAAAGUCUGAGUAACUGUCACAACCCAGAGUUGCCUAAGACCUGAGUGCUAAAGGUAAUGUGAUAUCCUGCAUAGGAAUCUGGGAGAGAAAAAGGAUAUUAGGGAAAAACUAAGGAAAUUUGAAUAAAGCAUGGAUUUCUGUUAGUAAUAGUACAUCAGUACUGGUGCAUUGUGACAAAUGUACCAUCUCAAUAUAUUAAUAAGAAGAGAGACUGGCUGUGGGCUAUAUGGGGACUCUGUGUACUAUCUUAGUAAUAAUUCUGUACAUCUAAGCUGUUCUAAAAUUAAAAAUCUUAAGAAAAAAAAAGGACAGCCUGGGUAACAUGGCAAACCCCCACCUCUACAAAAAAUUGUAAAAAUGAGCCAGGCAUGUGGUGGUGUAUGCCUACGAUCCUAGCUACUCAGGAGGCUGAAGUGGGAGAAUUUUUUGAGCCCAGGAGGUCGAGGCUGCAGUGGGCCAUAAUGGCAACACUGCGCUCCAGCCUGGCAGACAGAGGGAAGAUAUGUUUGACAUAGUUUAGAUAUUUGUCCCCACCCAAAUCCAUGUUGAAAUGUAAUCCCCAAUGUUGGAGGUGGGGCCUAGUGGGAGGUGUUUGUCAUGGGGGCGGAUCCCUCAUGGCUUGGUGCUGUCCUUGUGAUAGUGAGUUCACUUCAUGUGAGAUCUGGUUAAAGUGUGUGGCACCUUCGCCUACCCCCACUUGUUCCCACCAAGUGAGAUUCCUGCUCCUGCUUACCCUUCUGCCAUGUUUCUUGAGGCCUCCCAGAAGCCAAGCAGAUGCCAGCUCCAUGCUCCCUGUACAGCCUACAGAAGCAUGAGCCAGUUAAACCUCUCUUCUUUAUAAAUUACCCAGUCCUGAGUAUUUCUUUAUAGCAAUGCGAGAACGGCCUAACACAAGGUUCUAGUAGGGAGAAACUAGCAAGUAAAUGGAUACAAGACAGUCACUCUUACAUUUUUAAUUACAGGUCCCUUUGAGUAGACAAAACUUUAAGAAUAGGGGAAAUCAUUUACAUAUAAAUUGCAUACCAUGUCAAGGCUUCAUGGACUUAAGAACUAAUAAAUUCAGGGUGGUGAUGCUUACCUGGGAGGCAGAGGGUGUUAUGGGAGGAAACAGAGUGGUAGUCAGGCAAGGAUAGGAUAGCAGGUGUCCUUCCCAUAUGAUCCCUGAGCCUGGUCCUUAUGCUGUCAACUGACUGUACUUGCUACUUUAAAAUCUAAGGGAUUGAAAAAUGAAUGUUGAGUGAUUCCUAAACUAACACGAUAUUAAACCGAGUUCCAGACUACACCAGCCUAAUUUUAUUUAGUGGCAGACUCUAGCUCUGUUGCCCAGGCUGGAGUGCAGUGGUGUGAUCUCAGCUUAUUGCAGUCUCCACCUCCUGAGUUCAAGUGAUUCCUGUGCCUCAGUCUCCCAAGUAGCUGGGACUACAGGUACGUGCCACCACACCCAGCUAGUUUUUGUACUUUUAGUAGAGACAGGGUUUCACCAUGUUGCCCAGGCUGGCUUCAAACUCCUGGCCUCAAGUGAUCCACUGGCCUCAGCCACCCAAAAUGCUGGGAUUACAGGCAUGAGCCACCGUGCGGGCCUCUACUAGCCUAAUUGCUGCAAGUGUGCUAGUCGUAUUUAUCAAACUAGAUGUAAGCUGCUUGAGGCUAGGGAGGCUUUUACCACGUGCCUGAGAGGCAGUUGUUGGUUAUAAACUUGCCACAUGGGGCUCAGAUCACCUCAAGGCAAAGCUACCUGGCCUGGUUUGGAAUGCUUUUUCUUUUUCUUAAAGUCAGCCCUAAAGAACAUGGUAUAUUAACUCUUGAGGGCUGCUAAACCCUGGCACUGUGCCAGAACAAGUGACAAUACGAUAGUUUUGAGACUAAUUUCAAAAAUGUUUUUUAAAAAGGCAGUGUAAAUUCCUAACCCGCUUGUACAAACCUGUUAAAUUUUACUUUUCAAAACAAAUUCCAUCUGCUAAGGUUUGAGUUGAAUUAAGUAGCAAAUGAUAUUUAUACUCAGGUAAAUAGACCAUUCUCACUCACUGUAGACCCUAUAUUCCUUCUCAUAGCUUUAACCAUUUUCUGUGUCCCUACUUUUGACAUCAAACUUCAGAUUUUCUGAUGCUUGCAUGAUUGUUGAAUAAAUUAGAAUCUGUAGUUGCUAACAUACUAACAACUGAUUUUAAGCUCAAAAAGGCAACAGUGGUGUCCAAUAUACUUUUGUGGGCUUUAAUGCUCAGUAUGGAAUACGCAAUGAACGGAUGUUUUAUGCCACUAAUGGCUAUAUUCUACAUCUUGAUGGCUUUUAGUAAAUAAAAUCAUGAUUCCAAGUCUGAAUUACAUGAUGAGAUGGUUCACUAGAGCUGCAAAUAUACAAGUUUGUAUUUAAAACAAAAAUACCGAAGCCAUUUUACUGAAAACUAGUUUUAUUUUAAAAUUAAGUGCAUAGCACUCAUCUAAUUCCAUUGGUGUAGACUUUAGCACCAUACUUGCUAUUUGCAAUUAAUGUCGUAACACAGAUACAUUUUGGUUUGCAGUCUGUACUUGAGUAGUGUUUAUUUAGUGGACUUUGGUAAAGCCCUUCAUACAUAUUAAUCUCUUCACAGUACACAUUUAAUGAUGGUCCAGUAUUCUCAAAAAAAAAAAAAAAAGCCUACUUUAAAGACUAAUCAAUAAAUUAAACAAAACAAAACCCACACAAUGUUCCCCCACCCCCCAAAGCUAGCAGUUGUGAGUUGUAUUUAUAUUGAAACCUAAUGUUUUAAAAAUAGUUCUGGUUCUCCAACCACCCCAUCCCACCCCGGGUAUGCAGCAAUAGUAAUCAAUUAUUUUAUUCUACCCUCCCAAAAGAUUAUUAAUCCAGUGUUCUUUAGCUUUUUAAAAUAUAAAUUGGGAAAGUGUUAUUAAUAAGCUUUUUUAAAAGGCAUAUUCUUCUAUAACAAGAAUGGCAUAUAAACCAAUCAAUAAAAGUAUUUGACAAGACAUUAAGUUACCACAGGCACUGGCUGUUGUUUCAAGUUGGGAUCUCUAUCCCAAUAUCUUACAUUCAUAGCAUUAUUGAGGUAGUUAAAAUACUGAAAAUUGGACUCCAGGUUGCUGGGUUCUGAAUGUGAAUGUGAAAGAUAUAUUCUCUUUUGAGCCUACUUUCCCCCAAAUAAUUCAAGUUUUCUUGAGGUAAGAACUACCAAAAUCCAAUUAGCAGCCUUCUUUAAAAAGGAAAAGUGAUGAUACUUUCAGAAAACAAUUUUCAUGCUUAAAAACUGCCAUGAGUGAGUGUUCUUACCUGAGUGGUUUUUCAUUUUAUCUACCAGACUAAUAAAUCCACAUCAUGCCCUAUGUACUCUAAAUAUAAAAGUUAUUUUCUUUUUAAGGAAAGGAUAUUUCUCUAAGCAUUGAUACUGACAGAAGCUACCCACCCACAUUCAUCCCCGGGAGCCAUCUGGAUCAGUCCAUCACUGUGUUGAGCCCCUUCCCUUCCUGACAAAGGCCAUUGGCUUGAUUACUGAGACUCCUGCUGCAUACCCACAACAUCUUUAUAGUAAGUUUGUCUUCGAUGCAUAUUGUGGCAGUCACGUAUCUGCCAUGCAGUUUUCCCUUCUAUUCAAGUGCUAUCUUAAAAAAAACAAAAAGACACACCUUACUAAUUUUUAAACCAGAAAGCUUCCCUCCACCAAAUCUUUCUUCUCCCACAGAAAGGAGCACAAUGUAUACAGUUUAUCAGUUAUUACAAUGACUUUUUAACUUUUUAAGGUUAUUCCUCCAAAAUGCUUUACCCCCAAACUGCCCUUGCUGUAAUGACAAUUAUUGCUGUUUGCAGUUAAUACUGGUACAGUGAAAUGUCCCAGGGCAGUUGUAGGGUCAAUCCAAUGAAAGUAGCUACUGAAAUUUAGUCAUCAGUUACCUUUGCCUGCUUAGACUGACUAGAGCUGGAUUCAAAGGUUGCUUAAAAAACCUGUCUUCCACAUAACAAAGUGCUGCUCUAGCACAACCUGAGAACUACCCUGGCCACAGUCCCUUCCAAAAUAAACCUACAGGACUUUAUUCUAGCACUGACCUCUUACAGUUAUGCCAUCCCUUGAAAUAACUUUUUAAGAAUGUCGAUUCUGAGUAUAAAUCAUGGAUUGCACUGAGAUAUGCAAAACCUACAUAUGUAUUAUGAAUCACAGGAACUACCACUUCAUUCUGAGCUAUAUUAUGUUCUCAUUUGAAAACACACCCUAGCAAGCGUAUUUUAACCUAUGUUAUAAAGGUAGUUCACACUAUAACAUUCCCAAGGCAUGUUGCAUUACAGUUAAGUGUUUCCAAGUAGUACAAAUUCCCUGAGUUAAAUGUAUUUUAAUUCUAAAAAUUUGAUGUUGAUCACUUAGGGAAAAAAAGAAAAAUUAUGACCAUGAUUUAAAAAAUAAGAUCUUCUCCACCCUUAAUUUUAGUAUAUAAACCCAGAUACCUACACUAUUUGUGAGACGAAGUUAUAUAGAAUCAUCUAAAAAAAUUUUUUUUACUGCAGAUUGGUAUAGCAUAACAAUUCAUGAGUUUAAACUUAGUCAAAAAUUCAUGUGUAGAACAAAAAUAAAAAAUUGCAGAAUAAAAAAAACCUUUUCAAAAAUUAAUACUGUAACUUUCCUUCAUAAAAGACUGUUUGGCAAGUCCAUAGAUGAGAUAAACAUUUAGUCUUUGACUUAGAAGCCAACAUUAGGCCCAGAUGCUACCACAGGUCAAAUCUCAAAAUGGCAAAUUGAAGUCUGUCCAAAUUUUCUGUUGUACUGAAUAUUUUUGAAAUAUUUGGACCAUCAGCCAGGACUUGAACAUUUUUGUCAUACAGGGAUUUGUUGUAACAGAAUUUGACAUACUGUUAAUUUGCUUAGUCUCCCAGGAUUCAUGGUGCAUUAAAAAGGAUAUUCAGUCUUCCUGGUGCUGGUACCUGAAGAGUUCUGAUGUCAUUUAGAUCCCUUUCCUUUUGAACAGAAGUUUACAAAACGCUUACCCAUAGCUUCAUGUCACAAAGCAGUCUGGGUCGGUUAUCAGCUUCACAAAUAAUCACCUUUCAAAACAUGGAGUAAUACAAGGGUAAUGUUCAUUUAUCUGAUAACUCCGGUUGUAAGAAACACUCAGACAGGGCUUAACUUCUACUGGUAUUGCCAGUGACAUCCCAACACCAGUCUGCAUGUGCCCAAGGCCCUGAACACUAGUUUGGAAGCCAGCAGGACAUGUCUGUAGUGUGUAAGAUGAGGUGUGUGUGGUCGAUACAAUCUGCUGACAGCUUGGUUGUUCUGACGUAGGAUGGCGAUACUGCAGUGAGGUCUGAUGUGUCUGAUGGAGAUACUGAGGUUGCUGAAAGUGAACUGGCCGUGAUGGCUGGGAGGCUGUCUGGAAUACACUUAGUUGCGCUGACUGAGGUCCUGCUUGCCCUCUCUGUUUGUUUGCUUCUUUCACAUCAUUAUCAUGAGCGCUGAAACGUGGAGAGAAAGGAAACUAUUAAAAAUACUGCUUGAGAAGAAAUCUGCAAGAAAAUCAUGCCCCAUCCCCAACUCAACAGCUUCUUCCACCACCACUACCCAGGUAGCAGUCACUGCACCAUAAUUCCAACAACAGUGAGACCUCGCUUGUGUUCUUCUAAAGCUAUUUCCCUUGAUGUGAACCUUCCUGGUAGCUUUGAGGAUUAUUUCCAGUUUGGGAGAUGUGUCCAUAAUAAGCACGUAAGUGUGGCUGCCAAUUUGGUAACAUCCUGGUGGCCCCCAAAAUUCAAUGAUGUUAGGAAUGGGGCAAGGCUGGCCUGGACUGAUCUCAGGGUUACAGACUUACAGACACACACAAGCAGCUCCUUUCCUUAUAAUGUGCCCAGAAUUAUUCUAACAAUGACACCUUCCCUAGAGUUCUGCUCAUACAUGGGCUUGCUCAUGGCAGCAAGUAACUGCUGCCAAAAGCAAAUAACCUAGGAACUCUGUGCCUUUCAGAAGCUGUUUUCAGGGCACCUCAUACAUGAAGAAAACUGUUAAUGAGAAAGUACAAACACAAGAAUAAAAAGGCUUACAUCAACAGUCGUUCAAUACACUGCACUAAGAAAUCCCAAGAGUAGGCAGUAAGACGAUGUAGUCUUGUAGGCCACGUUGGAGAAAGACGAAGUAUAAUCCUCGAAGAAGCCACACAUGCAGCAGCUACUAAAGAAGGUGCAUAAUUUAGAAAGGCAUAAUCUGUGGAGACACCAAAAAUGAACUUAAGGAACAGAAUACACGAGUCACAAGUGCACAAGUCACUUACUGGUAUUCACAACAACCCACCUUGCAAAGAUACUUCCAGGAAGUAAUCUGCAUAUUUGGCCAUGUAGAGUUUAGUCUUUUCCAAGCAAAUCAUUGGCCAGCCGUCAUGAAGAUCUGUUUCGUGUACUGCUUCAGAGAGAUAAUACUCAAUGAAAUGGGCGGCUGUUGGAAGGCAGAGGUUCCACUGAAAGGUUUCUAAUAAUAAUAGUUCCAUAUGUAGCAAAUUUUGUUUUGUUAAUACUAGAUUCAUAUUAGUCAUACAACCCAGGCUGUUGAGCUGCUCCAGCUUAGGCACACUGUCUUCUUUUUCUUCAAAUUUACCUUAUAAGAAAAGGGGAUGGGAGGGGAGAGAAAAUGUCAGGCAAGUGAUCAUUAUUGGUCUAGUCAGUAAAAUGGGAUUUGCUGUCUUAUUGCCAGGAUUUAGAUCCAAAGACGUACUUACCUUACACAGAUACAAUUGUGCCAGAACCCUGUGUUUUCUUUCCCAGUGCCACCAUCCCCAACCUUUCCCCAAUCCCCUAAAAAAAAAUGCUUGAAAUACAUAAACAUUUUGAUCUGUGUUCUAGUAUAGAAUGGAAAUAGUCAUGUGCCAGUGAAAAAAAUAACUCAAUCUCAUCAGCUGAAUAUUUUCAGGAAAUUUUUUUUGCAGGUGGGUGGUAGCUGGUAAAAUAAAUUAUUUGAUUUUAGAGUAGAAGAUAGUUUUUUUUUUUUUUGAGAUGGAGUCUUGCUCUGUCGCCCAGGCUGGAGUGCAGUGGCGUGAUCUCGGCUCACUGCAAGCUCCACCUCCCGGGUUCACGCCAUUCUCCUGCCUCAGCCUCCCGAGUAGCUGGGACUACAGGCGCCCGCCACCACGCCUGGCUAAUUUUUUGUAUUUUUAGUAGAGACGGGGUUUCACCAUGUUAGCCAGGAUGGUCUUGAUCUCUUGACCUUGUGAUCUGCCUGCCUCGGCCUCCCAAAGUGUUGGGAUUACAGGCGUGAGCCACUGCGCCCGGCCAAGAGGAGAAGAUAGUUUUAACAAUUUAAUGUCAUAGCUUUAUCUGAAAUAAAAAAUAGUUAAGCUCCAAUUGUUUCAUCUUGGCAUCAACAUAAUCUCAAUUCCAGAGAGAGACUGGAGGGAAAAACUGGGUGAACAUUUAACACAAGCACUAUCAUUCCACAAAAAGCCCCAUCCCCCACUUCUUCUGAAUUCAAAACAAAAAUCUAGUCUGUUAAAGAAAAAAGGGGCAUGGGGGAGAUAGUUUAUAUCUGCUUUUAAAUUCCCUUACUGAAAGCAGAAUAGGAGUAAAGACAAUAUGAUGGCUGAACAUUAUUCAAAGGGAUUAAUUUCUUUUCUGGAAAUACCCAUCUAUAAGGUUUCAGCUAUGCACAGCUGAAGAAUAAGAUUCUCUUUCCAGCCCCAGAAUGUUUCUAUAGAUUAUGUACCAUCUUACACUUUACUUUCCAAACAUGCAUUUUACUGUCUCUACAUAUAAAGGCUUCAUUUUAGUAAGUAUUUCUAGAACUGAUGGCUGGAGAACAUUUACAAACUAUUAAGUACUACUAUGAUUUUCCAGAUGCAGCAACAGAACCAGAGUUGUCAUCAAGCCUCUUUGGGUCUUUGUUCCAUGGUGGUCCACAGAAGAAAGGAAAUUAUAACUAAAGCUCCUAUUACUGUGUUCUAUUUUAGAUUUAAGGUUUAAAACCAUCAUAUUAUGCCUAUGCCAGGAGAUUCUAAGCUCAUGUGUUGUGAAGAAUCUAAGCCCAAGGAAGCAGGAGUGAUGGCAGAGAGGUGAACUUCCUUAGAUCUAAACCACUCUAAAUAUUGCUGCAGGUAGAAGUUGAUCCCAAACUUAAGUAAUUCAGACUUGAAUCUAGAUAGCCCUUCCUAAUUAAAAUCACAUAAAGAUCAAUUUAACAAGUUUUGCCAAUAGCAAAUACUUAAAGUUGAAAGCACUAAAGUGGUCUGUAUGACAUAGUUAUCCAGCUUAUUGCCUGAAAAAAGAAGAGGGAACCAGUGUUCCUAGUAUGAAGUGAAAUUCUUCAGAAGGAGAAUGACCUAGGAAUUUAGUUCAGUGUCUCUGGAUGAAUCAUUACAGCUUUCAAGCACCCUGCCAUUUGUGAAGCAACAGCAAUACUGGCAGAAUACUUCAAAGGAAUACUGUAGAAAUUAAUGAGUUUAUUUAUAUUAUGCUUAAAGUUCCUUUGAAGAAAUUAAUACAUCAUAAUUCAAGGAGCAAGAAUGUUUCAUAUUAUCUCCUUGAAAUCUUCAACAUUGGGAAAAAAAAUUGCAUAUGACCAAUUUCACUGCUCAAAAACCAAGGUAGCGAGGUUGGCCAAUCCAUUUAAGGUCAGAUAAGUUAAAUCAAACCAAAAAUGGAAGCCAAAAGGAAAAUUUAUGUUUGAAUUCCCAAAUUUGCACUUCUAGACCAGAACUGACAGAUUUCUGUAUUAUUAAGCAUCUAUGGGAUGUUUAUAUUUAUAAAAUAUUUGGCUACAAGUGUGAAAGACUUUGCAUAUUGAUCUUGCAAAGUUAAGAAUAAUCUGAUUCUGAAUAAAUAACCAUACUUGGGGUUUUAAUUCAGGGUUCAAAUUUUUUGGAACUUUUCCAUUAUGUAUAGUAAUAAAUAUUCAGAUACAUGGAUAUUAAAAGAUUUCAAAAAGUGUGAUAAUGUCAAUUGAGUACCUGCAUUCCUAUCUAUAGUUUUUGUUGUGCUCACUGCUAUGCCUAUGUUCAUUUUAAGUUUACUUAUCCACAUUACCACACACAGUUCACAAAGAUCAGUUUCUUCAAUUGAAAGGAAAUAACAGAAGCCAUGUGAUUAUAUUGAUAAAGGCCCCAAAUAGGAAAUAAGGGCACAGGAAAUUCAUAUCUGCUUCCCAGAAAAUAAAGAAUUAGAGGCCACAGAAACAAAAACACUGGGUUGUCUUUCCUUUGUAGGAUAUGUUCAUAUCAGCCAUGGAAACCAACACAUUUUCAAAGCCAGCAGUGAAUAGUAGGUAUGUGGUAGAGAAGAUUUAUAUACUGAAUAGGGCACGGAUCAGAUGUCACCGAGUGCUCUGCCAACCCACAUUCUAUUUUUUUAUUACUAAGUAGGGGGAAAAAAGUCAUCCCUAACAUACACUAAGAAUUAUCACAAAUUUAUAAAAUGAAUCUAAUAUAAAAAUGGGCAAACAAAAGAAAAAGGUAAUUCAUAGAAAAAAAUUCUGAGCUCAUUAAAAAUUGAGAUGUAAAUUAAACCAACUGUGAGAUAUAAAUUUUCACACAUCAGUAAAAAGCUUUGCUAACCCAGUGUUGGUUGGCAAGGGGAAACAAGCACUUGUUACAAAUUGUUACUACUAAAAGCCUCUGUCUCACUUUUCACUUUGUCUUGACUCCAAGAUCAUUUCUUAGUUAUGUAAGAUCUUGAGCAAAUUAUGAGAAAUCUUAUCUCCAAGAUUACUUCCACAUGCUCCAUAAAUGUAAUGUUGGUCACAGAAGCCAAGGGAAGCCAGGGCAUACAUGUGAAAGAGUUGGAAUAGGAGAACUUCCCUGGACAAAUUAGGGUCCAGUUUGAAAUAGGUCAAAACCUUUAGGGUAAAGGAGGCAGGCUAAAGGUAACAGAGCAACUUAUGGAGGAAUUAAUAAUUACCAUGCUAAUCUUUUAAUGUUUCCAUUUCCUACAUGCUUUUAAACAUAUUACCCCCACUUGAUCCCAGAACAACUUUGUAAGGUAUCUUUAUUUCCAUCUUAUAAAGAAAUAACCUGAGAUUCAGGGGUUGUUGAAAUUCAUAUUGCUGAUGAGACUCCAACCCAGGGAAUCCAUCACUAUGGUCAUUGCUCCAAAACACUACACAUAGCUCUCCAAUCAGAGAUAAUCUGUAGGCCCUUUCUUCUUCUAAUAGUGUAGACAUAAGCAUUUGCUUCUAGAACUUACAAGGUAUGCUCCAUCUUUGGCCAAACCACCUACGGCUUCCCAUUACAAUGAACUCCACAAAUUUAAAACAGGAAUCAGACACUGAAAAGAGUUUAUCAGUUUAUAAGAAUCCUAAGCUCUUCUGCUGUAAAGUUACAGACUAGGGUUGGGGGGCAAGGGUAGAGAGACUGCUGCCUACUAAGGGCUAACCUCUUCAAUUCCUGACCCUGGUGUAGAGCUGAUAGCUCAAACUCUUUUGAACAACUUGCUACUUGGGAGGAGCAGAAAUCCUGAAGAAUACCUCACAUACAUUCCUACUCUCCAAUGCAAAAGGAAGAAUGUAAAAGCAAUUCUUCCCUCAAGGAAAGGGAAAUCAGGAGGCAUCAGCAGAAAAAGGAGGGAGGUAUCCAGUUCUUUCAGUAAUAGGUGAUAAUUCAUAUUUGAACCCCAGCAAAUACAGAUCCUAAUGUCUAAUUACUGGAAAGAGUCACAAAUAACUACAUCUUACCACUGAUAUUAAUCCAAAUAGUUCAAUAAAAUAAAUUGUUCAUGACCUUAAACUAACAGAAAUACACAAUUUAAAAAUAAGAACAAUUGAAAACUCCAUUCCAACCAACCUAAGAUGGUACACAAAGAUGGCCUUCCCACUUGGCCCACGCUACACUUUAAAAAUCACAGGCAUAGAGCAGGUGCUAGUGUUAAAAUGACAGUGAUAGCCACACAGUUACUUUCCAUUAAUGAUACCAAGUUUUUAAAAUAAUCUAACUUGCAUGUCUGAUUUCCAGUGACACUCUACUGUAAACUGAUUCUAUAAUAAACAUUCUGUACAAUAACAAAAAUCCAUUUUAUUUGUGGACUCACACAUCUAAACUGUCACGUGUGAGCUUUUCCAAUCUUAUACAAACUAUUAAACCCCAAAGGGCUUCACAGCCAGUGAUUAAACACAUACAGUAUUACACACAUGAUUACUUAUGAGCAUGAAACUUUAAUUAGAGGCUAAAUUAAAGGUUAAUUAUAAAUGUACAAGCAUUACCUCUCUGGCUCCUGGGUAGGGGGAUGAGGGAUGAGUGAAGUGUCUGAAUUUUAGAGAACAGUAGAUUAAGGGGAAAUGUAGAUAUUCAGGAAGUAAAUGGUAUUCUAAGAAUUUUGCUCAACGUACAUGGGGAUGAGACUGGAAAGGUGGCUGGGUCCAGAUGAAAGAUUCUAAACACUACAUUAAGCAGUUUCCACCUUAAUAUAUAGGCAGUGGGAAGUCAUGCUGCAGCUGUGUUUUAUUUACAUUCAGCCUGGUUCUACAAUGGAUCUGAAAUAACUUACAAAGGGACAUUCUGGGGACAAAAUAAGUAGUUGAGGUCAUCAGAUCAAAGGAAGAAUAAAGGUCAGAAAAUAAAAUCUGAGAAGAGAUUAGUACCAGAAAUGAUACUACAUAGGACUACAUUUGGUUUUAGAUUUAUAAGCAGCCAGGCACAGAAGUGCUAAAGAACUCUGGUGGCAUGGAUAUAGGGGGAAUGUUCCUUAUUUCAUCCCAGCCAUAUUUGACCCCAAAACCUCAAGGGAGAGUUAGAGGUGAAGGUUAUCAGUAUAUCUACAUACUCCUUUAAGAUUCUAUUAUAAUGACAUGGAUAAUACAGAAACUACAUUACUGAUUUAACUUCAAUAUCAAAUACAAUCUUUAUCCCUCAAGUGAGAGUUAAAAGUGAAGGUUAUCAAUACAUCUACAUACUAUAAAUUUCAUUGUAAUAACAUGAAUAUAGAAACUAUAUUACUGAUUCAACUUCCAUAUCAAAUACAAUCUUCCACAUUAUUAAAAGAAAAAAAAACACAAUUUCAAUUCCUUUACGUGCCCUAUCUUCAGUGAGAGUACCAACGAGCAAUGAAAUGAGGUAUAGGAAGAUGUAAAGAGAAAGAGGGGCCAAAAGAUCCACCAGUAUAUUCUGUACUAAGUAACAAAUAUGGUUGUAUCAGAUUGUAUCUUGGAGCCUACUACACAGUUGGUCUAAUGCAUAAGCAAAAGUUUUCACAUUUAUAGUAGUUGCACAUUAACUUUUAGUUCAUUAAGCCAACUCAUUAUUUAGUCAGUAGAAAGUAUUCUAAUAUAAGAAUAUGGUACUUUUAAGACAGUUUCUCAACUUUAGCUCCAUUGAUGUUUUGGGACAGAGAAUUUUGUUAUGGGAAACUGUCCUGUACACUACCGGAUGUUUAGCAGCAUCCCAGGCCUCUAUGUACUAGAUGCUAAAAAAGCAUCUCCCACUUUAUCACCAGAUGUGACAACCAAAACGUCUGUACACGUUGCCAAGUGUUCCCUGUGGGACAAAACUGCUCCUGGUUUAGAACCACUGCUUUAAGACAAUGGUUCUCAAUUGGAAAGGUAAAUCAAAAUCACCUUUGGAACUUUUUCAAAAAGUUAAAAAAUACCCAGUACCCAUUAUGUAGAUUUUGUCUUAGUAGAUCUGGAGUGGCCGAGAAUGUACGGCUUAGGCACAUGUUUUUAACAGGCUCCAAAGCCAUUUUUCAAUGUCUGGUUAAGAAUUAUUACACUGAGAAGCACUUUUAACAUAAGCUUCUUGAUACUAGUGAACUGGAAUGAAUGGGAUUUGAUGAUAUUUCACUGAGUUCUACAUAAAUUUAUUUUAUUAUAUAAACAUCAGAAAUUUCCAGUCAUGUAAAUCAGAUUCAUACUUACUUGCUAGAAGCAGGCAGGAAAGCGCAACUAAAUGCAGCUGCUGGAUAGAGAUGUCAUAGCGGUCCAUAAACAGGUCCAGUAAAUAGACAGCAAGAUGGCGGGCAGAAGGGCAGAGUGUGAAGCGAUUGCUCACAAUGGCAAUCAAGUCAGCAAAAUACCGUCUGAGACUUAACUGAGGGGACUGGCCUUUAUAGGAGGGCAACUUCAGCUCCUAAGUCAAAAGGAACAACAUUUAGUCUGACCUAUCUGUAGGCGUAUCCCCACAAGGCAAUGACUUAACAUUGUUUUUCCAAUAUAUUAGUAUUACAAGUGCCUAAAACAUACUUUUCUUGACUGGAAUACAAAAAUGAAAAAGUUAAGUGGAGGGAUAAUGAAUGACAUUUAAAACCAAAUUUUUCUCCUUACUCUUAACCACUUCUGAUGUGAACAAUUAUAGAUGUUCUUGUUUCUUGCUUUCUAGAAUGGAUACAUCCUACAAAGAUUUUUAAUAAGAGAAUCCUGUUUUCCCUACCAGGUGUUUUCAGAAAAACAUCCCUGACAAACCAACCACAUACCACACACACGCCCCUACACCUCUCCAAGAUGCUCAGAACUUUUGGUUAGAAGGUAAUAGAUAAGUGGAUAUGCUGCAUACAGUAUUAUACUUGCAACAGUGUAGAAAGCAGUACCUUUCCUCUAGUAUCUUCUAAUUUUGUUUCCCUUUUAACAGUUUUAUGAUCUGCCCUUUCCCAUCAUCCUCUCAUACACCUAAAAUCACUUCAAUCUCAGGACUAUAUUAUAUCAACUUGUUUUUUAAAAACUGGAAAAAUUCUAUACUAUUAAAAUAUUUCCAGAGCAUAGAGAAAGAUGGAAAGCUUCCAAAUUCAUUUUAUAAGAUCAGCAUAAUACUGAUACUAAACCCAACAGGUAUCACAAUAGAAGAAGUAACAGGGAUACGAUACCAAAAGCAGAACUUCCCCUACCCUGCAAAAAAAAAAAAAAAAAAGAAAAAGAAAAAGAAAAGAGAAAUGGGACUUUAACAAAAUUAAAAACUUUUGUUUAACAAAAGAUGCUAUCAACAGAGUAAAAGGGCAACCCGCAGAAUGGAUGAAAGUAUUUAUAAUCAUAUCUGAUAAGGGGUAAAUAGCUAGAUUAUAUAAAUAACUUAUACAACUGGAUAACAACCAAAAAACCUAAUUAUAAAAAUGGGCAAAGGAUUUGAAUAGACAUUUCUCCAAAGAAGAUACACACAAAUGCCCAAAAAAUAUCAUAAAACAUGAAAAAGAUGUUUGUUCAGCAUCACUAAUUAUUAGGAAAUGCAAAUCAAAACCACUAACAGCACUUCACACCUAGUUGGAUUGCUAUUAUCAAAAAACAAAACAAAACAAAACAAAACCAGAUAAUCAUAAGUGUUAGCUUGAAUGUGGAGAAACUGGAAUCCUUGUGCAUUCCUGGUGGGAAUGUAAAAUGAUGUAGUUGUUACAGAUAACAGUAUGGCAAUCCCUCAAUAAAUUAAACAGAGUUACCACAUGAUCCAGCAAUUCCACGUUUAGGUACAUACUCAAAAGAACUGAAAGCAGGGACUUGAAGAGAGAUUUGUACACACAUGUUCAAAACAGGAUUACUCACAAUAACCAAAAGGUGGAAACAAUGCAAAUGCCCACCAGCAGAUGAAUGGAUAAACAAAAUGUGGUAUAUACAUGGAGUAUUAUUCAGCCUUAGAAAAUUCUUAUAAUAUACUACAUGGUUGAACCUUGGAGACAGUAUGCUAAAUGAAAAAAGUCAUGAAAGAACAUUUAUUGUAUGAUUCCACUUAAUGAGUUACCUAGAAUAGUCCUAUUUACAGGGACAAAGUAGAAUAGUGGUUAUCAGAAGCUAGAGGGUGGGAAAUUGGGGAGUAAUCGUUCAAUGGGUAUGGAGUUUCAGUUUGGGAAGAUGAAAAAGUUCUAAAGAUAGAUAGUGGUGACAACAAUGCAAAUGUACCUAAUGUCACUGAACUGUACAGUUAAAAAUGGUUAGAAUGGUAAGUUUUAUGUUAUGACAGCUGCUGGCAAGGUUGUGGAGAAAAAGGAACGCUUUUACACUGUUGGUGGGAGUGUAAAUUAGUUCAACCAUUGUGGAAGACAGUGUGGUGAUUCCUCAAAGACCUAGAGGCAGAAAUACCCUUUUACCUAGCAAUCUCAUUACUGGGUAUAUAACCAAAGGAAUAUAAAUCAUUCUACUAUAAAGACACAUGCAUGUGUAUGUUCACUGAAGCACUAUUCACAAGAGCAAAGACAUGGAAUCAACCUAAAUGCCCAUCAAUGAUAGACUGGAUAAAAUGUGGUACAUACAGACCAUGGAAUACUGUGCAGCCAUGAAAAGGAACAAGAUCACGUCCUUUGCAGAGAGAUGGAUGGAGCUGGAGGCCAUUAUCCUUAGCAAACUAAUGCAGGAAAAGAAAACCAAAUACCACAUGUUCUCACUUAUAAGUGGGAGCUAAAUGAUGAGAACACAUGGACACAUGUUGCGGGGAACAACACACACUGGGGCCUGUCGGAGGGUGGGGGUGGGAGGAGGAAGAGGAUCAGGAAGAAUAGCUAGUGGAUGCUGGGAUUAAUACCUAGGUGAUGGGAUGAUCUGUGCAGUAAGCCACCAUGGCAAACGUUUACCUAUGUAACAAACCUGCACAUCCUGCACACGUACCCCUGAACUUAAAAGUUGGGGAAAAAAAGUUUUAUGUUGAUACAUUUUACGAUAAACAAAAAAGGGAAGUUAUAUAUUCACCUAACUUAAUAUUACCUAAGAUAAAUGGAUAAAAUAGUCAAUGUAAUUUAGUAGUGUAGCCAAAGAAUACAUCAAUUGUUGUUUUUUGAGACAGGGUUUCCUGUAGCCCAGGCUGGAGUACAGUGGUGCCAUCUUGGCUCACUGCACCCUCCACCUCCCAGGCUCAAGCAAUCCAACCACCUCAACCUCUGGAGUAGCUGGGACUACAAGCGCUCACUGCCACGCCCAGUUAGUUUCUGUACAACAGGGUCUCGCUAUGUUGCCCAGGCUGGUCUCCAGCUCAUGGACUCAAGUGAUCCACCUGCUUUCAGCCUCCCAAAGUGUUGAGAUUACAGGUGUGAGCCACCAUGCCUGGCCAAAAAAAUUUUUUUUUUCCACAUAAAGGGAAGAUGCCGAUUUCUCAUGUAGUUCCUAGGAUUUUUCUUUUCUCCUUAACUCUUUCUUUGGAUCUUUACAAUGGUGUAAGUGAGUUGCAACUUUACCUUUGCUGCCACCAUGUGACAUUUAUUGAGCAUCUCCCAUGCAGCAGACACUAUACUAACCCAGGCAUAAAAGCUGGAAAAACAGUCUCAAGCCUAUCUCUAGCAGGUGAAUCAAAUACAGAGCUUAUCACACAAUAUAGUCACCACAGGUUAUUAUGGCAACACCUAGGAAGAAAAUCUAACUUAGCUCAGGGAUUAGGGAGUUGGGGAAAAAAGGCAAAACCAGAGCAGGUUUUCCCAAAAAGUGGCCUGAACAUGGUCUUAAAGACUCCCUGGAAACACCUGGAAAACACUGAUGGACUUCACUUUCUUAAUGUUUCUCACAAAGCUAGAAUUGUUCCCAUUUGUCAUUAAGGCUCCUAAAAACACUUUCCCAAACAGCCUAUGACACUAACUAUACACAGCAAAAUAAUGAGAAGAAAGGAGACAAAAGGGUGUAAGGUGACAGCUGCUUUGUAGGGGUUUUUUGAGGGAGUGGAUAGUUGGCAUGAUUUCCAUUCAUUGUCAUUUUCACUCUUCCCUAGUAAACACAAUGCUAGUCACACCAAAUAUUUCUCCACAAACCUAGGGCCUAAACAUAGAAUACCUUCUGCAGUAUCUCAAUGGCAACUGCCCAAAGGAAGACCUAAAUGUGGAUGCUCUAAAUUAUAGAUAAGGUUAGACUAUGAAGGCAAGGAUCAUGUCUCGUUCACUGUUAUUGCUCUAACACCUGGCAUGAUAUCAUGUAUGUCAUAAAUGAUCAACAUGUUGAAGAAAAACAGAUGACUAUCCGACUGAAUCACCAAUUAAUAGCCUGGAAUUACCACGUCUUUUCUAGGAGAAAAGUCCAUUUUAAGUUUCCUUCAGUGUAUUACAAACAGUGGUCUCUCCAGUUCCACAAGUUUAAGUUUUACAGAUUAAUGUAAAUUCUUGUAUAAAGUGUUGCCAGUAAGAACCAUGGUUUGCAUAAUGCUUAAACAUAAAGACAACCCAGGGCAGUAGGCCAUAGGUGGCCCAAUAAAACUUUCAGUGGCAUUCCUUCACACCCUGUGCUACCUUGUCCUCUGAUAGUUCAUAAGCAACUUGAGUGAGUAUAAGGUUGGGUCUUAUGCCUUGGAUGCUCCAGAAACUAAUCCACAAAAGCCUUCAACAAAUCUAAAUCUAGGAGAAAAAACAAAAAAACAAAGAACCCAUGUCCAAACUCAAUUGACAAAAUGCAGAUAAUCACUCACGAAUUAAAAUGAUCUACACAUAAAAUGAUUGAAAAGUAUGGAAAUCACCAAGAAAAACCUUUUAAGUUUCAUGCCAAUUAAAAAAUAUACUCUUGGCUGGGCGCAGUGGCUCAUGCCUGUAAUCCCAGCACUUUAGGAGGCCGAGGCAGGUGGAUCACCUGAGGUCAGGUGAAACUCCAACUCAAAAAAAAAGUACUCUUAAUAUCAACUAAUUAAUUUCACUACAUACCAGAGGGAUAAAAAGGCUGACACUUAAAACACUUUUCAAAAUAUGUGCAACUAUAUUAAUUUUUUUAAAAAAGAAAACAUUUCACAUUGAAAGAUGACAUCUGCCAAAAAAAAAAAAGAUCAAAAGUGUAUCUGGACAAUUUUCCAAGAAACUGCAACUCUUUCCUAACUAACACUCCAGAGAUCCCAUUAGUUAGAAUUUUUAUGUGGUAUAAACCAUCUCCUAGGGGGCUGAACUGUAUUUUAGUGAAUCUAAGAGACUGAAUGUCAGAAUUAGUUAAGUAGCAUUUAGAAAUCUCAGGCCUAGAAAAGGGUAACAAUUUAAGUCAGAAUUAGGUUUUCCAAUCUACUUGACCUGGUCAGAAACUCAAGAUAAAAGUUCAUUAUCAUUCCAGGAUCUCAACCCCAAGAGUCAGAAUCCUUUUUAUUGAAAGUCAGCUGUUUUGCUUCUUUCUCAAUUUUCUACAUUUAACAAAUGGCUUUCUUUAUCCAAGGUGAAACUGAGUUAAGCUAGAGAUCAUUUUGGAUCUGGUCUCUCUUUUGGUUAUCGAAGAGGCAGAAAUGUCUCAUUAAUCUGCCUUGCCACAUGCAGAGUAAAACCGUUACUUAAUAGCAACAAUACACAGACUUUGCUUUGUGUUGGAAAAGUAUUUUUUUCCAAUAUCUAUUAAGUCUACUUUCUGCCUUUGAUAUCAGCAGGAAGGGGCAGCCAACUCCCUCCACUUUAGGGCUUUUGAACAGCCCAAAUCCUGAGGGGUAAGUGAUAAGAAGUUAUCACUUAGUGCUUACUAUAUACCAAGAGCAGUUUCUAAGCACAUGUACGGUACUAACUUAAGUUUCACAAUCGCCAGAAUCAUAAGGCACACUCAUUAUUCCUCAUUUUACAGAUGAGGAAAUCAAGAAACAGAAAUUUCACUUGUCCACGUCUCACGGCAAGUUAGCGGAAAGGCUGAGGAAUUUAUGUACAAAAGCGACUUAAACUGGCUGCAUGCAACGGCAACUCUCGAACAAAGAGGGCUGUUCUGCCCAACAAAAAUUCAGUGUAUAUAUCUUUUAAAAUACAAGAUCAAAUUCAUGACCCACCUGGAAGCCAGAACGCCCCUUUCCACCUUCCCUGGCCCAACUACCAUCUCCCUACUCAUUCAGGUUGCAGGUUCUUUUGAUACAUCCCAGAGAAGGAGCCAAGAAGUUAAUUAACCUUGAGCAAAUGAGCAAACUCGCCUUUUCUGGCCCGGAAGAUAGUGAGUAAAGAACCUGACUAGACCUUCUAGAGAGCCGAGAUUCAGAACAACUGGCGCGACACACAGAAGGAGAAGGCAGGCCGGGCCUCGGAGUUACCUUGUAGCGAAGCGCUUGGUGAAUAUCGGCGGCCAGCUGUCCUCGCCACCACUGCCCCUCCAGCUCCAUGGGACCCGGCGGCGCGCCCAGCCCGACGCGGCAACUCGAGUCUGUAAGACACACCCCAGGCGCGGUCACUGCCGGCUCCCCCGCGACCCUCUGCGCCCCCUCCCCGGGGGGUGUGACCUCAGGCCACCCGGUGUGGCUGCUCAUCUUCACUUGACUCUUCCUCAACCCAGCCCGACCCGAGUCGUUUCCCCCAACGCCACACGCGAAGCCGGGUCUGCCCCCGCAGGAAGAGCCGAAGGACUCUGAGACUCACUGCUCGACUAUGUGUCGGGCAAAAGGGGAUCCACUCGGGCCCUGAGUUGCCAAAGCGCGGAGCCAGGUGCGAGCUCGGGAAGAGCUGGGGGAGGCCCGGCUGGGGCUCCCUGCGUCCGGGGCUGGAGUUCUCCCGCCCUCCCUGAGGAGCGGGGAGAGGUGACACGCUCAUAGCCCCGCUGAGGGGAAACGCUCCCAUGGCAAAGCCCGGGGGUGAGCGUCUGCCUGGCCGCGGGUCUCCGCAUGGACGUCGGGAGCCUGCUCCUCCCCGGGAGCCCCGAGAAACGCACGUUCCGCGCGGCCUCAGAAAGGGGAACAAAAGGCCGGGCCAGCCAGGCUCUGCGCCUCACCCCGGGAGGGUCCGCUGCCCCACGCCUACCCCAGGCCUGCCGGGCCGCCCGGCCCCACGCUGGCUCCCUUACCCGGAACCGCGGCCCUCACAGCCCCAGCCCCGCCGUCGUGCGGCGGACGCCGGCCCCGCUCAUGCUGCGGACAGUGGGCCGCUAAGCGCCGGCCUCAGCUAGAGCCCAGCGCCUGGACGCUCGCGCCGCCCAUUGUUAAAGGACCGGCAGGCGGCUCCGCAUACAAAGCCAGCGCGGGGGCACUUGAGGCCCCGCCGCUGCCAAUCUCGUCUCGCGAUACAGCGGGGUCGCCCCGAGCCGUCCAAUUGGCGGCCGGGCCGGGCCCAGGUGCAGCGCCAGGCGGCGGCGCGGCGGCUCCCGCCUGGGUACGGUCAGCAUCCCGCACGGCGCGGCGUGGCCUGGGCUGGCCUGGCGCUUCGGUUGCCGGGGCGCUCAGCCGCCACCUACUGCGAAGCCGGCCUGAUCGCCGGCUGAGGUCGGCAGAGAGCGCCGGAGAAAUUGUAAGGUGGAUCACUGCAGUGACCAAUCCAGUUAGGCCACUCACCUGCUGAGAACCUUCGAUGGCUCCUCGAUGCCCGCGGAGCAAAGUUCCGACGCCUCAGUUUGGCGUUUAAAAGUCUUCACGGCAUGGAUUCGGUUUACCUUACUUCACGUUGCACCAACCGCUUCCAUCCCAGGGGCUGCUCCGUGGAUCAUCAGGCCCUCCAAAUGUGCUUUAGCUGUUUCUGCAGCCCCUGAAGCGUUUUUUUUUUCCUGUGAAAUUAUGCUCUUUUUUUAAGUUCCACCUCAAACUCCACCUUUCUUCUAGAAACCUAAUUAAUCUCUUCCCCCUCCUUAUUUUCGUUGCUGUAGGGAUUCCCAAGAGCUUUGAAUGAAGACAUUUAAGAUUACUUCUAGUAACCUUGCUUGUCAAACCCAUGGUGGAUGUAAUUAACCAUCUGUGCUCGUAAAUCAGGAAACUGCAAAACUGUGAGAACACUCCGACGUCAAUUGAGGUGAUAUGGGGGCUGAAAUGUGAUUAGAGGAAACCUAAUCAAUUGUAUUUUAACCUCUUUGGUGGAUUAUCACAAAAGAGGUGGAUGGUAACCCUAGGACAGUGAGACUGUCCACUUUUCUGAGACUGGAGAUCAAUCUCUUAAUAGUAAAACGUAAAUAUUUUUAAAACUUCACCCCUUUUACUUUGAAUCCUUUGUCCAAAAAGAUACAUGAUGAUAAAGAACUACUACAAAGUGAUAAAUACAUUUUAUGUGAUUCUGGGUGGCAUCUUCAUUUGAAGAUCAUCAGCAGACAUGUAUAUGAGCCGUACCCUAUCCAUAGACGAUGCUUAUACCCAGGAGAGCAGGCCCGCAGGAACCAAAGGCAAGAAAAGGGAAACUCAGAAGCUGAAGUUGGCAGAUCCCGGCCUAACCCGACAUAGUCCAGGGAGAAGGCUGCCCUGGCCUGUCUCUCAGUUGCAGGGUCCUCUAGAGUGAAGGUAGACACAUCAGGCUAAAAGCUUCAUGCCAUUUUUAAUGGCAUUUAAAUAGUGUCUACAUCCUUGGGUUCCAUUUCAUGACUAUUAAACAACUUUAUAAUAAUUUGGCUUCUAAAUAACUGUCCAGGGCCUAUUUAAGAACACUUUCAGAAAAAUGGGGCACAGACUAUAAUCAUUAGUAUAAGAAGUAGACUGUAUUUAUCGCUUCUACUUUGAAAAUAUUGUUCACUGGGAUAUAUUUGUUCAGAAAUCAUUAUUGUUUUCUGGACUUGCCUUGUGAUGAGAAGACUUCAAUGUCCAUUUCCUUUUAUGGAUUAAUGUUCAUUUUACACAUAUAUUUUGCCAUAGUGUGUCUUAGAUAGUAAAUCCUUAAAAUGCAAAGUUCAAACUUACUAUGAUUUAUUUAAUUCCUUUAGAGCAAGGUGGACACAGUUAAGGUAUUUACUUAACUCCUAAAGUCUCUGCUCUCAUAGAGUUUUUAUUCCACUAGAAAUAGAGAUACAAUGAACAACAACAAAAAAACAUAUCACAUGGUGACAAGUGAUGUGAAGAAAAAUAAACAGAAAAAAAGGCUAGAAAGUGACCAUGGGUGGGCUGGGUGUGGUGGCUCAUGCCUGUAAUCCCAUCACUUUGGGAGGCUGAGGCCAGCAGAUUACCUAAGGUCGAGAGUUCGAGAACAGCCUGGCCAACAUGGUGAAACCCCGUAUCUACUAAAAAUACAAAAAUUAGCCAGGUGUGGUGGUGGGCGCCUAUAAUCCCAGCUACUCGGUAGGCUGAGGCAGAAGAAUUGCUUGAGCCCGGGAGGCGGUGGUUGCAGUGAGCCGAGAUCGCGCCACUAUACUCCAGCCUGGGUGACAGAGCCAGACUGUGUCUCGGAAAAAAAAAAAAAAAAAAGAAAUGGGUGGACUUUGUUUCAUGAUAAGGUAAGGCAUGCAAAGGCCUGAGGGAAGUGAGAGAGUAGGUACGUAUCAGGUGGCUGAGCAUUCCAGGCCGAGGGAAUUGGUACACGCAAAGACUCUAAAGUGAAGGCAUGUUUGGAAUGAAAAUAGAGGCCACUGUAUGUCUGGAGUGAAGAGGAGAUAGGAAAGACGUUCUAAGUCAAGGAAGCACUGAUCACCAAUGGUAUGAAAGAAUGGAAGUAAAAAAGGCAGAACAUCUAUAUAAAGGGCAGAAUAGGGAAACUGCAGAGUCCUUUGUGACUGCAGCAUAAGGCACAGGUAGAUUUGACAAGAGAUGAGGUGGGACCAGAUUCUCUGGAAAUCUUCUGUAACUCACAGAACUUUACGCCGUGGAAAAGCACUGAUUUUUUAAUUGUUUAAGUUUUUUAAAUGAAUGCAUGAAAAAGCUAGAAGAUUUCAAGCCAUAGAAGACUAUACAGUGACUAGCAAGUUUCUUUCCCUCCCUGGUCCCAGUUUUUUCCAGAGGUGACACCAUUACUCUUUUCUUUUGUAGCCUUCCAGGGAUAUCCAGGUAUUUAUAACCAUGUAUAUAUAUAUAUAUAUAUAUAUAUAUAUAUAUGAAACUCCCUUGCCUCAUUUUAUGUACAAAUGGUAGUAUGUUACAUGCUCUGUUGUGUACCUAGAUUUUGUCAUACAGAAUAUUCCGGCGAACAUUCCAUAACAGGACAUCCAGGAUUCCUUUUAAUGGCAGCAGCAUAUUCUACUGGAUGCAAAGGCCUGGAAGCCAACAGCCCUGGGCUCUGGUUCUCUGUUCUUGAUUUGUUGCUAUUUGUAGUAUUCAACUCAUUGCAACUACUAUUCAUAUCCACCAUCUCUCAGUUACACUUGUACAGUAGUCUCUUAACUGGUCUUAUUGCAACUGCUCCUGUCCUUCUUGAAAAUAUUCAUCACCUAGUAGUUGGAGUGGUCAUAAAAAGGUAAAUCACAUCUGAGCUUGAUAGUCAAGAGUUCCUAGAUCACAUUUCCAAACUGUUUUAGCAUAUUGAACAAUGUUAAGGAUAGUUUUUAAGUCUACUUUAUAAAAAAUUAGUUCCAGGUAUUUGUAAUCACAGAUAUUUGUAAUCUGUAAUUUAUGAAAAAUAUUCCAAAUUUUAAAAUGCUAUAUAAGAUUCUAUUUCUGGAUAAGAUGAAUGUGACAGUUAAUUUUAUGUGUCAACUUGACUGGGCCAAGAUUGGGUGCCAGAUAUUUGGUCAAAUAUUAUUCUGGGUGUGUCUGUGAGAGUGUUUUUGGAUGUGAUAAACAUUUGAAUCAUGGAGUAAGUAAAGUGGAUUGCCCUCCCUAAUGUGAGUGGUCCUCAUCCAAUCAGUUUAAGGCCUGAAUAGAAUAAAAAGAUUGACCCUUUGUCGAGGAAGAGAGAAUUCCUGCUGCCCAACUUAUUUGAGCUGGGACAUAGGUCUUUCCUGGCCUUCAGACUCAAACUGAAACAUCAGCUCUUCUUGCAUCUUGAGCCUGCCGGUUUUCAGACUGGAAUUACCUGUCAACUCUCCUGGUCUCCAGCUCCUGACAGCAGAUCUUGGGACUCCUCAGCCUUUAUGAUCAUGUAAGAUAUAGAUAUAUAACUAUAGAUAUAGAUAUAAUUCCUUAGUUUAUAUAUCUGUAUCUCUGUGUAUAUGCAUAUACACACAUAUAUAUGCAGAUAGAUAGGUAAAUACACACAUAUGCACAUGCACAUUCUGUUGGUUCUGUUUCUCUGGAGAACCCUAACACAAUGGAUUAAGCCAGCUUCACCCUGUCUCUCCCACCGAAUGUAACUAUAAAAUCUGGACAGACUGCAUGAGCAGCUAUUUGAAGACAAUGUAAAGUAAAUAGUAGCAGGCAAGUGGGGAGGAAGACCUUAAUUUGAAAUAUCACCAAACUGGUGGUGAGUUACCCCUUCUUCCUCCAGGAUUCCCCAGCUUGGAUUCAGGAAGCCUGAAAUCUAGAAAUGGGCACCAGGGCACAGAAAGGGAGAGCCCUAGGAGAAUCCCUUUUGUUAUAAGGAACAGCAAAGGAGUCUCCUAAUGAUCAGAGUGAGGCAAUUCCCAUUUAUUUAUUUUUUCUUUCUUUUCUCUCUCUCCUGCUGUAGCCCCCAGGCAUUCUUCAGCAGAUUGGUGGUAGCCACAACAGUGGUAAUAGGGGCCAACAGGUGCCGAAAACUUAGGAAAGGAAAGCCUCUUAUCUGAUCAGAACAGCUGUGGUUGUUUGUUUUCCUUUGUCUUCCCACUGCCUUACUCUGGAUGGAGGUACAAUAAUGGGAAGUGUGGGCAAAGAGGUGUAACUAAAAACCACAGCUUUAUGGCUGGAGAACUGAAAAAGGGAGGCCCAGGGAACUGAAAAGUACUGGGGAGACUGUGGAGAGGGAGGAGCAGCUUUGGAAAAUGAUCCCACAAAGUGCUUAUGAACAACUGGGCUUACCUCUGAGUUGUGCAUACAUAGAUCCACUCUGAAAAGACUAAAAACUCAGAACUGCCCAGAGCAGUGGCUGGCCACUAAGCAGCACACAUAUGUGACAGAUCUGAGUAGCACAGAAAGACUUUGAAAAUGGACCUGACAUCGAAACCACAACCCACAAAAGGCUAGCCAGAACUUGCAGCCUGAACUCAACCAGAUUGGUUCCCGGCUACAACAAAAAACAUCAACAUUCUCCAAAAGAUUUAAGUAAGACGUAGAUCUCCUAACAUACAGCAUAUUCAAAUUGCCCUGGAUACAACCCAAAUUACUCAGCCUAUGAAGAACAAAAACAAAUCUCAAUUCUCAUGGGAAAGACAAUCAACAAACACUAACACUAAGAUGACAGAGAAUUAUUUGACAAGA